UUCAAACAGGGCCGUCCGCCGGAAAAUGCUGCAGCAUCUCAUAUAGUUUAGGUUGAUUCUUCCCACUGGGUCAGUUCCCAGCGUGGCUUCUUGAUGGGCCUAUUCACAGCCUCCCAAGAACAUUGAGAGGAUGCGGACAACGUAGGGAUGUUGCCGGCCUCCCUCACAGUAAGUUCUCUUCAAACAAAAUAUACCAUCGUUUCCUGUUUCACGUCACAUAUAUACGCUUGAAUUGGGUUCUUCCUGGUACUUUAAUGCAUUAUUUUUCUCGUGGGUAUGUGCGGUUGUAUUGUUCUUCCCCCCCCCCCCGCCCCCCCACCUCUAGACAACGGGAAUGGUCACUCAUCCUGCAGUUGAGAUCCCGAGGCCAGUCAAACAGGACCGCGAGGAGCUCCAAGGUGGUGCUGCUUCUCCUCUACCCUUGUUUAGCUCGUAGAAGAAGGGACCCAGAGGGGAGCUUUCCCAUGCAUCGUCGCCUCCCUCUCCAGCCCUUCCUGUUUCUCUGUGGGUUCUGAGACCGAUGGAAGCUGGGUUCUCUGAACAGUGCUGGGAUAUCAUGAUUCCUGGGCCAAUUGGGCGGCACCUGUUCUGAUUAGAGCGUCCUUUCAGGCAGUUGCAUUUCAGAGGAGAGCAACAUCCAAAUCCGCAGGUUUAUGUGCGCCACAGGUUGAUGAAAGCUCUGUUACUGUCAAAUUAUGGGCCAUUGAUAGGAAGCUCCAUUUCUCUGUUUAAGUUCAUAUUUUGGUGCUUCUGAGCCGUCUCUCGGGCCGAAGCCCACUCACAUUCUUCUCUUUUUUCCUUCUCUUCCCGAUUCCAGAUUCGAUGUGUACAUUUUAUUGGUUGGGAAGCAGAUGCAAUUCCAGAUGUCUACAAGUCUUGCAGCAAUACUCGGAGGCUCUGCAGCAGGUCUUGUAUUACUGGCCGUAGCCAUUGGGUUGGUGUGGCUAUACCUGCUGCACCAUGAGGGCGCCUCGAACAAGAACUCUGAUACUGGGUCCUCAGAUCCACCCCCACCAGGUAUGGGAAAAUUUAUAUCAGUUAUGCCUGAGAUUGCAGAGAUUAGGACUGAUGACAAUGAUGAUGAUGAUGAUGGCGAUGAUGACGAUGCUUCUUGUUCAUCCAAAUCGGCAGCUGAAUGGAAUAGGGUGGGUCGAGCUUCCUCCUCAGGCUGUGAAGCUAUGACUGAUCCCCAGGGAGCCAGGCGUUUCGCCCUGGAAGAAUUGGAGAAGGCAACCAAGAGCUUUAGCAGGGCCAACCUUGUUGGUGAGGGAAGCUUUGGAUCUGUGUACAAGGGCCUGCUUGCUGAUGGCACCAUUGUGGCCAUCAAAAAACGUUCGGGAGUCUCAAGGAAGGAAUCUGAAUUUGUUGAAGAGGUAAGUCAAGUUUACCUUUUAUCAUGUUACAAAGCAGAUAGUCUUAGCACCUUUCCCACUAGGCUCAAAGAAGGCCUUUUCGUAAACCCUAUUGAAUUCAAAGCCCUUCUGAGUUCUCACAACUACCCUGUAUAACAAUCCGGCCACGCAGCUGGAUGGAAAACUUAAUCAAUUAUCUGGGCGAUCCCAUGUUCAUGGGACGAGGCUUCGGCUGUGACAGCAGCCUUCAGAAGGCAGCUUGGUCAAAACAAGAAUGCAAGUGGCACCAUUCAUUCACAUCUUACUGGGAAAAUCUUGAGACUCUGUGGCCUUGCUGUUAUUGAUUUGAUGAUAAUAAUGCAGGUUGUCAUAACUUUUAACCCAAAAAAAAGGAAUAUGGGUACUGAGAUACAUUCGCUUUUCAGUUUAAGAUGAAAGCUGGAUAAUCUCCUACCAUUUUCUCUUGCAGUUGGACAAUCCAAUUUAUUUUCUCACCCUCUAUCAAUUACUAGCAUUCUUGUGUCUUACACAUCGAACUUGGUGGAUGCUUUCAAUGGUUAAACCAGGUUCAGCACUUGUCGGAGAUCUGGCAUCGCAAUCUUGUCACCCUAAUUGGGUAUUGCUUUGAGAGAGGCCUCCAAUUGCUUGUUUAUGAGUAUGUUCCCAAUGGAAGUGUCACCGGUCACUUGUAUGGUAAGUGUCACCUCCUUCCCGUUUUGCCAACACUAUUACUUCCUGCUGACCUUUGUUUACUAUCAAAUGGGUCUGUCAUUGGGUGCCCUUGCAGAAGACAAAGCGUGAAGUAUUCAAAAACAGGCUAAACAUUGGCAUGAUUUAAAUGGAAGCAUGAGCAUCUUAAUACUGUCAUAAAUUAGGUAUAAAUAGUUUUUAUGCCAUAUUUUCAUGUUUGCAAGGAUUGUCGGCUAGCAUUCCCAGAAGCAGUGCGUCGGGUAAGCUCAGAAUAGUCAAAGUUUCCACAUUAAUAAUAUUUCUGUUUUCCAGAUAAUGAGCAUGAUCAGAAAUGUGGGAAAAAUUGACAUUUCUAAAUGCCGAGGAUGAACUUACUCAUAAUAUUGUAAAUUAGUUUUAAAUAGUUCUUAUUGCAUAUUUUCAUGUUUGAAAGGGAACAGUGGUUACACUCCCAAAAUUUCACGCUUCUGGGUAAUCUUGGAUAAUAAAAUUCUGUUUCACAGAUCAGGGGCAUGAUCAGAAGGCACAGCUAGAAUUCAAGCAGAGGCUUUCAGUAGCUCUUGGUGCUGCUAAAGGUAAUGAUAUAUGAGACCCAUUUGUUUUCUUUUGACUGUGACGUGUUUAGAGAAUUAAACGUUGGUGUGCAUACAGAUAUGCACAUCUCUUUCAAAUUAUUUAUGCCAGAUAAGUACUUAAUAUAAUUGAUGAUUGCAGGCUUGUGCCACUUGCAUGGCCUUGUGCCUCCCUUGGUGCACAAAAAUUUCAAAACAAGUAAUGUUCUAGUUGAUGAAAACUUUAUCGCUAAGGUAGCAGAUGCUGGGAUUUCUGAUCUACUUCGAGGAACUGGAUGCGGAAGUCCUCAAUUACCAGGGAGCAAUGUCUUCCAAGAUCCAGAGUAUGCAUGUUUCUGUAAAGUUUUUUUUUUCUGGACGUGACUCCCUUAUUUAAUCCUUAGGUUGAUCAAUUAUUUUUUAAUAAAUUGGUAGAGAGAGAAAGAGCGAGAGAGAGAGCGAGAGAGAGAGAGAGAUCCAUCUUCUUAAUUUUGGAAUGAAGGUAGCUUGUGCAUGUGUCACUUCAGCAACUUGUUUUAUUGCUUAUUCAGGGUACCACAACCUUAGUUGCCUUAAAAGUUUUUUACUUGUGGCAAUUAAAGCACCAUUACAAGACUUCUUUCUAAAAAUUAACAAUGCCUACAUCUCAAUAGAUCUCCAAAUCCUGAUAUCACGUCAACUACCCUUUGAGGCACCAUUUUUUCAUGCAAAUAUAUUAAGUCCAAAACAGGUCUUUUUGCUCCCUCGUCCAAGUUUUCUUAUCUGAUGCUUUUUUAUUAGAUUGAUAAUUUUCUUUUGGUAAAUGUAGAAUGCCUUGAGCUCGUCUCCCCCACUCCCCCCACGAUUUCUUUAUUAUGAGGUGUUAAUUUUGAUUUCUUUGGUUGUGUUUCUUCUUUAUUCCUAGUUUUGAUCCUCUUGACCGACAAGUAUGACCAGCUUCCACCUGUGUAGGGUAGGAGAUUCAGGCCAGCUCUCUGAAAUGAACGACGUGUACAGCUUUGGAGUAUUUAUUUUGGAGCUUAUUAUGGGUCGGGAAAUCACUUCUCUGAGCCUUCUUGAAUCAAAUGAAGGGUUGACCAAAUGGGUAAUGCAAGCAUGCUACAACCCUCAAUUUUUAAUAAAAUAUUUAUGUAAAAACAAGUUUCUGCGAAGCAAUCAUGGUUUAUAUCUAUUUAACUAAUGAUAGAAGAUCAGUCUACAAAUUAUGACCCUCAGUUUUUUGCAAAUAUCUAUAUUGAUGCAGAUGUCCACAAAUAACCAUGUUUUUUAUGGGUUACACUAAUGAUAGAAAGCUAGUUUUAAACUAUCAUCUUCCGUUCUUGAUAAAUAUCUUUAUUAAUGCAAGCAUUCUUAUUAUCUAUUGAAUAAAUGAAAGGAGCUCGGUUUUAAACUACAUGAAGUUUACAACUGGUUUAUAUUCUAUCAUCUUCGGUGUUUGGUCAAAUAUCUAUAUAAAUGCAAGCUUCCACAAAAUAACCAUGCUCUUAAUUGAUUGAACUAAUGAUAGAGACUCAGAUUCAAAACUACCAUUAUUUUUUACAUUAUUCAAUUGUCCAUGGUCAAAAAUCUUCAGACCUGAGGCUCUGAGCCCUCAUUUCUUCGGCUGAAAAUAUCAAUAUAAUGCCUUCACAAUGGUGUCUUUGUUAAAAGGAGGGAUUGAAGAUGAACUCAAGUGAGCUCAUUGACCAGCGCCUGAGCAACAGCUUCACCUCCGAGGGAAUGAAAGGGUUGACUGAGCUCGCUCUUCAGUGCCUCGAUUCACCUGGGAUGAGGCGGCCCAAGAUGGAUGCUGUGGUGUCAGAGCUUGAUAGGAUCCUUGAAACAGAGAUGACGUUGACCAUGGUCAUGGGCGAUGGUACAGCCACUGUUACUCUCGGCAGCCAACUGUUCACCUCUUCCUAAGUAACAGGAGGACCCUCCUUUAGGCUCUUCAAGGCAAGGGAGGGCUCUUGUCCUUAGGACCAGAUUUCUAAUUUCAAGCUUCUUGAGGAGUAAAUUUCUCAAGAUGUACAGCUUCCGAAUCAUUCUUUUAAGGGUUUUGUAAUAACGCCUGCUGUAAUUUUAUUUUUAAUGAACAUUAUUCUAGCGUUAGUUCAGGUGGAGGCCUGUGGCAUUGCUUUUAUGGGGAAUGUGUCUGCAAAUCUACUCCAAUUGUGAUUUUUUUUUGUUGAUUCCUUUGAUUGUGCUGUGAUUUGGGAUAUGGGGGAGUUCGAUAAUCAUGCAGGGCCAAUGGAGGGUCAACCGGCCAAGUUAGUCCAGGAGAAGAAGCAUGGCCAGACUAGCCUUCUCUCUCUCUCUCUCUCUCUCUCUCUCCUCCCUUCCCCUUUCCUCGUCGGUCGUCGGUUAGUUGUAUUAUANNNNNNNNNNNNNNNNNNNNNNNNNNNNNNNNNNNNNNNNNNNNNNNNNNNNNNNNNNNNNNNNNNNNNNNNNNNNNNNNNNNNNNNNNNNNNNNNNNNNNNNNNNNNNNNNNNNNNNNNNNNNNNNNNNNNNUCUCUCUCUCUCUCUCUCUCUCUCUCUCUCCUCCCCCCCUUUUUCAUGGGGCUCGGGUAGUUUGAUUUAAUAUGUUAAAUUGUGGCCGUGAGUUAAGUCAAGGGACUUGAUUAUAGAUGCUCAUUGCUUCGUUUUAGUCCCAUACUGAGGAAAUCAGUUGACCUUUCUUCAUAGAUGGAUCUAGAAACUGCCCCACAUUCCUCAAAUCAGGGAUGAUAUAUCUUCCAAGAGAGGGAAUGAAGAGGAUGAUGAUGAUAUAGGGUGAGCUGUGGGAAAGAGAAAUAGAGAGAGAGAGAGAGAGAGAGAGAGAGACCGACGCAUUCACCACAAGGGGUAUCAUCACUAUUAAAAAUUCUCUCAUUGCUGCCACAAUAUCUACAACUUUUUUCAUGGGUUCCUCCCUGUCCCAUGUACAGCUUGUUGUGUACAGCCUCAUGCAAAAAAAAUCAUGACCCGCCCACCAAAGUGUUUACAUUAUUUUUACUUCUUUUAGUAGUCAAUUAUUAAAAAUAAAAGAAGUCCAGGUGGCGAUGAUUUGAGAGGAAGGGAACUCUUGUCAUAGAAAGAAAAAUAAAAUAAUAUCAGUAAUAACCAUGAGGAAUUAUCUUGGUGAUUAAUACAUAUGAAUGUGUGAUUUAAUCGGUUGUAACAUUUAUGAUACGGCUAUAAAAGUAUCGUUUUUUCUCUAAAUAAUUCGUCUAGAAACCUAUAUUGAUCAGUAGGCUCCAAAUUUGUGUGGCGAGAUCUUUUCGGAUUUUAUGCAGCAGCAGUGUGAGUUGACCAGAUGUCCUUGUUUGUCUCCUACCGCAGCCUUUUAGAAGAAACUAUCUUUCCUUAUUCGUGGUAAUUAGGAAAUAGCGAAAAGAGAGGUAAAAGGGGAUGUACCAGGAAAAGUCAACGUUUCACAAUUGACAGUAUCAGUCAACAUCAGCUUUAAAUGGCGGAACUGACGGCGCAAGACGAGAUCUUUUUUUUCUGUGAAAAAUCGUCGCUGACAUGAACGCCCAUCACGACACGUGGACUCUCGUUAAUUCCGUUACAGUCCCGGCGGCGGAUCACCGUCCGCCUCCGUCGCGGCGGCGCCCACGUGGACGGAAACCCGGUUGGCGCCGUCACGUUGCCCAGCGGUGCUUACCCAUGUCACUGCCACAUGGCGACCGCCGCAUCUCGAUCCCCCCCCAUUCCACUGUAGAAGAGGGCGCAGAAAGCUCUGAACUUUCUUAUGUUAAAUGUUCCCCGCCGCCAUCAUCUCCCCUGCUCCGGCCCCUCUCCUGCGUCUCCUGUCCCUUGCAGGCGCUGCACGGCUGCGCCUGCCGCAGCCCUUCUCACCGCCGAGCUCUGCCACUCGCCGGGCGGCCACCGCCGCCGGUGGGCACCGGGUUCUCUCCAUGGCCGAGUCGACCUCAUCCUCCGGUGCCGCCGGGCCUCCACCGCCCCACAGGCACACCAACCGCCUCGCCUCUGAGCAUAGCCCGUACCUGCUCCAGCACGCUCACAACCCGGUGCAUUACCCCUCGUUCUUGUUUCCGGUUGACCGUGUCUGCCCACAUAGUGGGACCGUCUCGUUUUGACAGAAUCGAUUGCCCGGACACAGUUUGACUGUCCGAAAUGGUGAUACUAACUGGCGGAGUGGGCUAACCCGAUACCCCGGCUGGUGCUCUCAUGUUUCUUCGGUCCUUUUGUGGUGUUCUUGUUUUCUAAAACUCCUUUAAUAAAUUCACAGCACAGUUUUCUCCUGGCAUUCUGGGCACCGAGUGAAUAAUUAUCCUCCUUUUUUGCCCUGAUACCUUUUUUCAGCAAUCACCCAAUAUUUAAAUUAUCUCCGAGGAUUGAUCUCCUCCUGUUAAGUGUUUUUCUCAUGGAGAUUAAUGCCCUGAAUUUUUUUUUUUUUUUUUUUUUUUGCCGAAGGUUGAUUGGUACCCAUGGGGAGAAGAAGCUUUCAAGAGAGCUCGUGAAAGAGAUGUUCCCAUCUUUCUAUCAAGUGAGUAUCAUUCUUUUUCACCAUUUUAUCGAAUCAUGGAUUCAUGUGCUGGUGCAGAUAAUCUCUUUUUGCACUUAUAUUUCUACUGAAACCCAUUUAUUUUCCCCUCCUCUGUUUAUUUGUUUUAACUCCACGCUCUCCAUUGGAAGUUGGCUACAGCACGUGUCAUUGGUCAGUAUAAUCUCCUAUCCAGUGUUCCAUUCAUGUUCAGAUUUAUUGCCCCCCGUCAUCAUUUAAAUCAGAGAAUUUCCAUUUACUUCUGGCAGUAUUUUAUGUAAUUCAUAUCUACUGUGUUUAUGAAGGGUAAAAGCAAAAAUAACAAGGAAAAUGUAGAAGAGUUCAUAAAAUUCUACAUAGAGAAUCAAAAAUGAUGAAAAUUAUUGAUGAGAGUUAUUCUGUCAAUCAUAUAUCCCGAUCUAGGGAAGGAUAAACGUUAACAUGUCGAGAAAAAAUUCAAUGCUUUUUUAGCCUUAGAAAAAUCCUCAAAACUUGUGUUGACCAUCAUAUAUACUAAAAGGUGCUUGUGAGAGCUUCAUACUCUAAUGAACUCGCAAAACAACUUUUCAGGAUCUUGCAUGUUAAAUAUAACACGUUAUACUCAGAUUUUUCUUAUUGCAUUCAUAUAUCAUGAAAUCACCGAGAGGUUAAGCAGUAUAAUUCAAAGAAACAUGCAUUCCCCAGUGAACACUUACCGGAAUGUAGAAUCCUGCAUGUAUUAUUAAGUAUUUUUCUCGUAAUAUUAAAUCGCUCCUCACAGAAAACAUAGACUGCUGCUAAAAUUUUAAUGGAUGUGCAGGAUAUCGACUUUUUUUUGCUUUUGAUAUGUUUGUUAUUGGUCACAUCUAGUUGAAGGCAAUAAAUUAUUCUGUUUGCUCUCUUAUUUAUCACGUAGGUGUCAUGUGAUGGAGGUGGAAUCAUUUGAAGAUGAAGAGGUUGCCAAACUUCUGAAUGAUGGCUUUGUUAGUAUAAAGGUGAGGUGCAUAUGUUCUAGAAACAUAUGAUAUCCUGAAAAUAACAGGGAAGAGUUAUUACCGCCGUCACACUUCUCAUUUAUGUCCACUCUGAGCUGUUGCAAUCAUUAUUUCUGUUAAUAGAAUAACCGAUACAAUCUCUGAAUUAUGUAAUUAUUAGCUUCUAACGUUCUUUAAAUGCGACAGGUGGAUCGUGAGGAACGGCCUGAUGUUGAUAAGGUGAUUGCUGCAUAUCGAUGUAUUUUUAUUUUGAACUGGAUAUAUGACAUUGAUCAAACACCAAUAAUAAGACUGUCUCAUGUCCAACUCUCUUCCAUCAGACCCCUGUAAAAAAAAAAUAGUGCAGUUUUAAUGUACAGUAUACUAAAUGAAUGAAAAAAUUAGAAGAAGUCCUUCGUUCAAGACCUGUUUUUUCCUGUAGGUGUACAUGACAUAUGUACAAGCGAUGUAUGGUGGAGGAGGUUGGCCUUUGAGUGUUUUCCUUUCUCCUAAUCUAAAGCCUUUUAUGGGCGGAACAUAUUUCCCACCUGAUGACAAGUAUGGGCGACCUGGUUUCAAGACAGUUCUCAGGCGGGUGACUCGUUAAAACUUGAUCCAAUAUUACAUUUACUAUAUUUUUUCAGUUUUUCAAAAUUUUUUCUCCACUUCCUUUUCAGAAGGGUGAGGGAUGCAUGGGAAACUAAGAAGGACGCGCUUGAGGAUGGAGGAUCCCGUGCAAUUGAACAGAUUUCUGAGGCAUUGUCAACGGCAGCUGCCUCUCAACGAUUAUCUGAAGAGACUUUACACAGUUCAUUACGAAAUUGUUAUGAGCAGGCAAGCUUUAAUGACCGUGAUGUAAUCAAAGAUUUUCUUAUUUUACUUAGCUGGUGCUAAGAGUCACAUUGUACGUUGAUUUCUUCUAAUGACAUGGAAUCGGCUGUGUUGCUCGUCAGAUCUUUCAUUAAAAUGCUAUAGAGAUAUGGAAAGUCUUUUGUAUCUUACUAAGUGGAUAUGCGUGACAACUUUUCUAACUAUUUUAUCUUUUUUUAAAAUUCUACUUCUCUAGUCCAACUUAAAAAGUUUUUACGAAGUUAUCUUUAACUUGGUAUGAUGGAAGGCUUGAAUUUGAUUUCUGGAGGUUUUUUUGGAGGAAUUUUGUAUGUGAAUAUCCCUCACCUUCUUUUCUGUAACGGCUAUGGCCUUGCCUGUUGAGGGGAACAAAUAUUGGGAUUCUAUGUCCGGCAUAUUUAGAUAUAUAUGUUCAGACAUAUGGAUAUAUUUGUGUAUGUGCGUAUGCAUAUCUGCUAUCUAUAUUUGCAUGUAUAUCAUAUAGUCACAUACUUUGACCGUUUUGCUAUUUCAUGAGCCUAUUUUGGCAUGUUAUUUGAUUUAAUCAUUUUUAUGCAACUGACUCCAAGUGAUGGCGAUUGCAAUAAUCUUUAGCUUGCAGAGAGUUACGACCCAGAGUUCGGUGGAUUUGGAUCAGCCCCAAAGUUUCCUAGACCUGUUGAAAUACAUCUAAUGCUUUAUUGGGCAAGGAAGCUCGAGGAUAUAGGGAAGGAAAAUGAAGCUAGCAAGCCAGAGAAUAUGGCUUCCUAUACGUUAAGAUGCAUGGCAAGGGGUGGUAUCCAUGAUCACGUUGGUGGUGGAUUUCAUAGAUAUAGUGUUGAUGAAUGCUGGCAUGGUGAGUCUCUAUAGCCACCACCAAAAAAACUUCUGUCAACAGUAACUUCCGUAGGCUUUACUUAAUUUUUAUAAAUUUCUGGUCAAAUCGGCAUUGUCGUUGGGAAAACUUUUCUUUUAUAGUCUAAAUGACAGUGUUAUUCAAGACUGUAGUUUAUGAAGAAAAUCGUCAGAAAUGUUUUACCAUCGAAUUAAGGAAAUUUACGUUGUUAUUCAUGAUUCUACAAGUUUAUUUUCUACUCAAAUUUAGUAAUAUGAUUUGGGUAAAAAUAGAAACACAGAUUUGAAAUAUUCUUAUGAUUUUUGUCAAUUAUAUUCGCUAGUUUGGAUUAUUCUUUUCUAAUAUCUAGUGAUGGCAUGUAUGAUUUUUUAGCUACUCCAAUCGCCAACAAUAAUGCGAAUUCAACUCCAAUUCGCUAACAGUUCAAAAAAAAUGAUAUGCCGAUGUGUUUAUAUCUUGCCCCUGACAAUUCCCCCUCAACAAAAAAAAAAGGAGAAAUAAAAUGGAAAAGAAAUUGACAGAGUGAGUAGCAGAUGCCCCCCCCCACCCCCCUCUCUUAAGAAGUGUAUAACGUUCCAUGGAGCAUCCAUCACUCUAGACUAACCUGAUACCAAUUAUGCACGUUGGAAGUGUGUGCUUCCAAUGUUGUAGUCGGAGUCCUCAGGGAGUGUAAGUGAAGCACGUGUGGCUUAAAUUUGAUCCAAAGUCUCAUGUGAAUUGAUGCAAUGGGGAGUGGAAGGGUACAGGUCUUUAGAAACUCUACGCACCGAAUUUUCAGUUGAAAAAAUAGGAGCAUUAUCUGCGUCAUGAACUAGUUCUGAACACAGACUUUUAACAAGUAAUAUGGAUUUUACAUGAACUGUUUCAAUUGUAAGUCAUCUGUGGUCAGCUGCAGGGUAUUAUGAUAUUAGUAGUUGUGUUGGUAACAUCAACCGCACUAUCUUCAUGAGGAAGCGAAUUUAAAAGUAUGAAUAACUGUGCUUAAUUAGUGCGCCUUAUUGUAGUCACCUAUGGAUUAAAUGAUUUUCAUGCUGCACAUUUUAAUUUCAUUACUGUUUUGCAGUUCCUCAUUUUGAGAAGAUGCUCUAUGACCAAGCCCAACUUGCUAAUGUUUAUUUGGAUGCAUUCUCGAUUACAAAGGACACCUUUUAUUCACUCAUGGCCCAGGAUAUUCUUGAUUAUGUCAGACGAGAUAUGACCGGGCCAGAUGGUGAAAUUUAUUCAGCUGAAGAUGCAGACAGUGCUGAAUACGAAGGUGCCACAAGAAAAAGAGAAGGAGCAUUCUAUGUUUGGACGAGUGAAGAGGUUUGUCAAGAGGAGAAAACGUCCUAACAAAUUUCUGUAUUUAUUUUGAAUAUCAAUAAUAUUCUGAGGAAGAGAAUAAAACCUCUUGCUUAAAAUAAUCCAUAAUUUCAUCUAUCUUCCAAGUGUCAUAUUCUCGUUCAAAUAUACCAUAAAGAAAUACAGAUAGAGAUAAAUAAAAUCUGUUGUGUACUUAGUCGGUGACUAUGAUUUGUACUCAUAUCUGAAUUAUUUUUCAUAUUUGAUGUGCACUGUUCGUCAUCAUUUACGGUGAGUGUCUAUGCCAAGUGUAUAUUUCCAGACCUCAAUGGACACAUAGUUGAGGCUCUUUGCCGAGCUUAUCUCCAGAACGAUAACUCAUGGAAUUAUCUGUCCGAAAUUCUUCUUUAAGGGAGAAUUUCAAACUCCCUCUCAAGCAAUAGAAAGUGAUUGAUAAGGAGAAGGCAUCAUUCUAUUGUAGUACUGUCACCGAGCCCUAGAGGAAUAUUAAAUGUUCCGAAAGUGAUAAUUUAUUAGGAUUAUUACAGCAUGAUAGUUCUUGGCAUAAUUUAUGGUUUUAUUAUUCAUCUACACCCGGUAAAAGAAAGAGUGAUUCUCCUAGGAAAGGUUGACAGAGUCGGGAAUACAUUCCCAGAUGAACGGGACUAAAUUCCAAUAUAGGCUCAUAUUUGAUAGAUAUAAAAGAAGAAAUCUCUACUGGAAAUGAGUGAAGAAUCUUCCUUUAAAAAGCUUGCACUAGAAAGAUUCUCUUUGCUCAUAAUCAACACACAAGUCAUAAAACGAUUAUAGAGGCUUCAAAAAUAUUUUCGAACCCAUUGAAGCAACCAAACCUGGCAUUUCUUACGUCGAUUUCCUAUGUGGAAAAAGCCUUCAUGUGUUAAAAAAUUCAUUUCUUUUUAGGGACUGAGUUCCAAAUAAGGAAUAUCUGCGCCUUCAGUACAUUUGGUUGAAACACUUUAGGAGAUUGCUUUAAUGAAGGCGCCUAAGAGAUGAACUUUUGGUUGAAAGUCAUUGAAGGAUGUAUUCUUUUUUAAUCUCUCCUAUUAUUGAUAGUUCUUUCCUUUAGAAAUACAAGUGUAAUUACUAGAUCUCCUCUGCCAAAGUUACUUAUUUUUUCCGUCUUUGUGGUAGAUUAGGCUCCAUGUUUCCUAAUAUUCGUUCCUCCUGUAUUUUAUUUGUCUCUUGUUGUUUUCAUAUUUGACUCAACCCAAAAGGUCGAGAAAGGACUUAUUUAUGCCCCCAUUGUUCAAGUGAAAGAUGGGAUUCUUGUUUUCUUGACAAACACAUCCGAAUGUAGCUGUGAUGAAAAAUAGGAAUUUAUAAUAGCCAAUGAAGAAAAAAUUGGUUUUCGAAGUUUUUAUUAAUGGUGUUCUUGUCAAACAAACAUUGAAUAUGCAUGGCAGAUAUAACAUGUAAAAUACUUGCCACUAAUUGUGGAUCAUCAUAUUUUGCUUAAGGUCGACAAGACUGUUGGAGAUGUGUCAGAACUUUUCAAGGACCAUUAUUAUGUAAAAGGUUCAGGAAAUUGUGAUCUCUCCAGAAUGAGUGAUCCUCAUAACGAAUUCAAAGGAAAAAAUGUUCUAAUAGAGAGAAAAGAUAUAUCUUCAAGAGCUUCCGAGAUGGGCAUGUCUGUGGAUGAGUAUGCGACUAUUCUUGGAGCAUCUAGGAAAAAACUUUUUGAUGCACGUUUAAGAAGACCGAAGCCACAUUUAGAUGACAAGGUAUCCAUUUACUCCGUUCAAUAAAUUCUGUAACUCCAUGCCCUUUUCUUAAUUUUCAAGUUUUUUAUGAUUCUUUAGGUUAUUGUUUCAUGGAAUGGACUGGCAGUAUCAUCUUUUGCAAGAGCUUCAAAAAUUAUAAAGAGUGAGGCUAUAGAAGCUAAAUUUUACUUCCCCGUCGUUGGAUGCAAUGUAAGUUCAUGUACUUUCUAUGUUAGAGAUAUUCUUUCAUUUCUACUUAUCUAUAUGAUUGGCGGUCUGUAUGACUCAAAUUCUAAAUGACUUGAACUUUAGUGUAACCUUAAUUUCAAGGUGCACAUAAAUCCAACCAAAUGUAAUUUGAAAUAGUUAGAGUUAAUUUAUUGACCAGAAAAUAUUUAAGCCAUUUAAUAACAAAUAAUGAACUCGGACAGAAUCCAGUGAUUCUUUUCAUCGGCUGGUUCAUGUGAAAGCCAAGCCAUGGGAUCAUCCUCAGCCCUAAGUCAUUAAAUAUGCGUUGCAUGAAAAUGCUGGUAAUUUAUUCUCCUGUUUGGUAGGCUUAUAAAGAUUGUGGUAUUUACUCGAUGUAAUUAUCUAUGUAUUUUGAAAAACUAACACAAGCGCCUCCUGAACAUAGAUUAGGCAUUUUAGAUGUGUGGCUAUUAAACUUGUUGAAGCUAGGAGUGCGAAUCAGUUCUUCCUUCAUCUUCUGUAAUAAGAACUGAGUCUAAUUCCUCCCAAGAACUCUUCCCACCGGUUACUUUUUCCUUGAAACUAUUAGUGAAAUCUGUUUCGAAUCAGCCAACAUGUGACAGAUUCUAGCGCAUUUUUCAGACUUGAGACAAUUUCGACAUUCUUUGCUUGAACACAUGAAUUUCUAUGUUGUUAAGAUUCGUAGCCCUAAGACGUCUUAUUAAGGUGAUCCCCAAGAUGCUUGUUUAGCGAAUUUUAGUACCAGAUUUUUAGAUGACUCGCGAAGAUAGCCUCGGUUUAAAUGCUCUAUCCAAGUGCAUCUAUCAGAACUGCCUGAAAUGAAUUAUUGAAUCAUGGUAUGCCCAGUUAAAAUAGACUGUCUGGCCGUGAAUUCAUGAUAACUUUAGUGUUAUCAUGAAUUAUUGAAUCAUGAUAACACUAAAGUGGAAAUAAAAAUCUGCAUAACUUGUGCCUAAAAAUAAACUGUACAUUUAUUUUAUGUGAAAUAAUGUAAGAGGCUGAAAAAUGAGAUCAUGCUGGUCAGCCCGCGUGGAAGUUAGUCUUCUUGGUCCGUGUUCCAGAAACACUCACCAUUAACUAAAAAUAGACCUUCCCUCCGGGGUUCAGGUUUAUUUCAUGUUAUUUAUACCACUAACCAAGAAAACUACUUAUCAAAGUCAAACUUUUGAGUCGUGAUAUUUACUGUUCUACAGCAUUCCAAUAUUCCUGCAAUCUACGUGGACCCCAUCUGAGAACUUGAUUGAAUUAUGGGUCAUUCUUUGUAUGUUGUGGUUCCUCGGUUCACAGCCAAGUGAGUACCUGGAAGUUGCAGAAAAGGCAUCAGCUUUCAUCAGGACUCAUCUCUACGACGAGCACUCUCACAGACUGACUCACAGCUUCCGAAAUGGGCCCUCAAAAGCUCCAGGCUUUCUGGACGAUUAUGCCUUCCUGAUAUCAGGGCUGCUGGAUCUAUACGAAUCUGGUGGCAGCAUCAAGUGGCUGAAAUGGGCUGUUGAUCUGCAGGCCACUCAGGCAUGCAGAUGGGCACAUCUCUCUUGGCAUAUCAAUAUCUUUCCAUACCAGUCUUUUUCUGGCUGUGCAAGUCCCACUGAUCUUGAUAUCCCUCCCAUUAAUGGUUUUCCAGGAUGAGCUCUUCCUCGACAGAGAAGGGGGAGGCUACUUCAACACCCCGGGAGAAGACCCUUCUGUCCUCCUACGAGUUAAAGAAGAUUAUGAUGGGGCAGAGCCCUCCGGAAACUCUGUGUCAGCGAUGAACCUCAUGAGACUGUCCUCCAUGUUCUCGGAUGGUAGAUCUGAAGAUUACCAUAAAAAGGCAGAACACCUCAUGGUUCGUUCGAGCCUCUGAAAUUUGAUCAAUCGACCUUGCAAAACCAUAUGAUUUAAAUAAUUUUUUAUAUUUUUUAUUUUUAUUUUUACAGGCGGUGUUUGAGUCUAGACUGAGAGAGCAGAGUGUAGCCGUCCCACUGAUGUGCUGCGCUGCAGACAUGCUGGCUGCCCCGUCCAGGAAACAGGUGGUGAUAGCGGGCAACAAGGCUUCCCCAGAAUUCAAUGGCAUGGUCUCCGUUGUUUACUCGUCAUAUGAUCCCAACAGGAGGGUGAGCACUCUUUUCACUUGAUCAUCCUUCUUCAUCUUUUUUUCCCCAUCUCUUCAAAUCAAAUCUCUUGAGAAGCUCCAUUCAGAUCACCCAUCUUAUAAUCUCUUGAGUAGCUUGAACCAGACCUCUCAAAUUCUCUUUGUUUUCUAUCCCUCCACAUGGAUUCUCUUCAGAAGCAUGAAUCAGAUCACUUAAUCCCACCUUGCAAUCUAUUGAGAAGCAUGACUCGGCUCACUAGAUCCUCUUUCUUCUUCUUCUCUCUCUUGAAAUCUCUUGUGAAGCACUUGAUUCUCUCUUUCUCGUUUCCCUCUCUAAAAAUUUCUUUACACGUUCGAAUCAGACACUAAUUCCUCUUUCUUUUACUCUUAAAAUCUUCACAGAGCCUUGAAUCAGACCGCUCAAUCCUCUUUUGUUCUUUCUUCCACCCACUUACAUGCUCCUCAAUUGCAGGUGAUCCAGAUUGACCCCAGCAACAAAGAAGAAAUGGAAUUCUGGGAAGAAAGCAACCUGAGCAUUGCCGCCAUGGCCAAGAACAGGCUGCUCCACCAGACCAGUGUGGCUCAUGUCUGUGAAAACUUUGUCUGCAGAGCACCCGUCACCUCCCCUGAAGCUCUUCACACGCUGCUGAACAAGACUCCCACUGGAGCAUAGCCCAAUGGUUCUUCUGGCCGCUGCCAAGAGAAUCUGGCCACCUUGUCCAUCCUCUUUUACUGCUGCAGACAAACAACAGGCCACUCUUGUAAGCGUGCAAUAGACCACUGAAAACAAGUUCUUCCGCAAGUCAGUAUGUUGGAAUUGUCAAAGAACCCUCCCUCCCUCUCUCUCUCUCNNNNNNNNNNNNNNNNNNNNNNNNNNNNNNNNNNNNNNNNNNNNNNNNNNNNNNNNNNNNNNNNNNNNNNNNNNNNNNNNNNNNNNNNNNNNNNNNNNNNNNNNNNNNNNNNNNNNNNNNNNNNNNNNNNNNNNNNNNNNNNNNNNNNNNNNNNNNNNNNNNNNNNNNNNNNNNNNNNNNNNNNNNNNNNNNNNNNNNNNNNNNNNNNNNNNNNNNNNNNNNNNNNNNNNNNNNNNNNNNNNNNNNNNNNNNNNNNNNNNNNNNNNNNNNNNNNNNNNNNNNNNNNNNNNNNNNNNNNNNNNNNNNNNNNNNNNNNNNNNNNNNNNNNNNNNNNNNNNNNNNNNNNNNNNNNNNNNNNNNNNNNNNNNNNNNNNNNNNNNNNNNNNNNNNNNNNNNNNNNNNNNNNNNNNNNNNNNNNNNNNNNNNNNNNNNNNNNNNNNNNNNNNNNNNNNNNNNNNNNNNNNNNNNNNNNNNNNNNNNNNNNNNNNNNNNNNNNNNNNNNNNNNNNNNNNNNNNNNNNNNNNNNNNNNNNNNNNNNNNNNNNNNNNNNNNNNNNNNNNNNNNNNNNNNNNNNNNNNNNNNNNNNNNNNNNNNNNNNNNNNNNNNNNNNNNNNNNNNNNNNNNNNNNNNNNNNNNNNNNNNNNNNNNNNNNNNNNNNNNNNNNNNNNNNNNNNNNNNNNNNNNNNNNNNNNNNUCUCUCUCUCUCUCCUCUCUCUCUCUCUCCUCUCUCUCUCUCUCUCUCUCUCUCUCUCUCUCUCUCUCUCUCUCUCUCUCUCUCUCUCUCUCUCUCCUCUCUCUCUCUCUCUCUCUGUGGCUGGGACAGAAUCUGACACUGCUGCCCAGUCCAGACUUGUUGAGUUAGUCAGGGGUUAACCUUUGCCCCCUGACCCGUGAGAUCCAGCCAAAUUCUUAUACAAUAUUAGGCAGCUAUUAAAAAAAAAACUUACUGCGCUGGCCGAUUAUUGCUCCUCAUUUGUCAGACUGAGGGUUUCACAAUUCUCAACGCAGCCUUUUGGGCCAGCCAAAUCUGCGUUAACAACUACAACCAGCACACAAGCUGUGAUGGAGAUCACCUUGUGCAGCCAUCAUUCAUCUCAGGAUUUUGCUUCUGUACAUGGUGUGAACAGAGCCAUGAUCCAUUCAGAUCUGUUUAUGGUUGGAGGCUAAGAUAUUCCACAGACCAUAUACAGACUCUCAGAAUUCUGCUCCCAUCAAGUCCUGCCAUGUUCCCCUCUAUCAAGAGACAGAAAGAGUGAGAGAAACAUGUGCAAGUAAAACUCCAGGAAGGGAUUGAGAUCCGUGGGUGAACACAGGGGCGGCCUCUUCAUGGUUGGCAAUGAGGCUUAGACCAGCCAAGAACAUGGAAAAGGAGCACACCAAACACAGUCUGCCAGGGGCUGCGGUGGGAGGCGAGGUGGGUUAUUCUACAUAAUUACACACGGAGAGCAUCAAGAACGAAUCAGGAUGGUGGCAAUGGCAAUGGUAAUGACAAUAAUCAGGAGAAAACAGAGGCAGGGAAAAGAAACUCUCGCAUUUACAGACCUCCUGGCCUGAUCUCGUAAAAGGCAAGUGACUGGGCCCCCGAGGUCCAUCUGAAUCAUGGGGAUGAAGAAGAACAAGGGCAGAGAGAGGCCAAGGCCUGGGCAGGUGGGGCUGACCACCAAAAGCUUUUGGCACCGCCGCACGCCUGCCAGAGCAGAGCGUCUGCCGAGAAAGGCUCAGCCCAGCAAGAACCUGAACAUGUCGCUCAAGGAGAUGAUGCCCUCCACGCGCUUGCUGCCAGCUUCGACGAUGAUGAUGCGCCUCACGCCUGAAAUAGACGGCCCAGAUGAUUCAAAUGCAAUUCCAUCGAUAAGGAUCUUGCAUGGAUGGCAAUUAGUGGAGAUGCUUACCAGGGUUGGCCAGCCGCUCCAUCACUUUCUGCAGAGGAUCCGUGCGCAGGCACAUAUGGCAUCUCUGCCCGUUGAAGAAACCAAACGGAGAGCUAGCAUCUUGUCCGAGUUGCAAAGCCUGGGUCAAUGGGGAGACUCACUUUUAGUAAUCGAAUGAAGAAAAAAAGGAGAGAGGGUCUUACUUCUUUGGUACAAAAAAGGGGGAAAGAAAAUCGUUGGAAAAGAAAAGAAAAAAUGGUGAUUUUGCCAGGAGAGGCUCACCUGAUGGAUGCUCAUUUCAUCGAGGUGGACUUGAGCAUAGACUUUGUCUUUGGCAAGAUAAGUAAUGUCACUGUCAUGAGGGAACGAAAAAGUCAACCACCCGGGUCCAAGAUUGAGAGAAAAAUCGCUUUCUUUGUCAACGUAGAGUGUAUAAGCAUAACCAGUGGUGAAGGUCGUUCACCUUCGAGAAUAUAUAUCCACCAGUGAGUCAUUAUCAUCAACUAUUGGUAUCGAACUAACUCGAGCUGUGAAGUUGAAAUGAAUACACUUCAGUCCAUGAUAUUUAAAGUUUACAGCAGCUCAUUGAAAAGAAGAGAAGGAAUUCCUGCUCGAUGUGAAUUAAUUUCGGAAAUCUGAUUCUCAUACGAAGAAUCCUCGCAGAAAUCUUCUCUCAGAUGAAAUAUGGUAACAGAAAUCACAUUGUUCCAUAAUAGUUUGAAAUUAAUAGUAAUUAAUUCAUUACAGAAGAUAGAAUUUCGUAAUGGGCAAAAAUUCCAGACAAAGCUUUCCAGUUUUCUGUAAGAAAUUUAGGCUACUGCAAUCUGCAUCAGCUACAGAACAACUAUCACCGAUGACUCUCCAAAACUGCCCUGACAUCCAUAAAAUUGUGUGCCUGAAAUGUAACCAGAAUGAUCCAAUAAACCCUUUUCAUGUCGAUUCUAAUGUUUAACCACGCAACAAACAACUAAGCAGCAGUGAUUAGCAGCCAACUGUUAAGGUGGCAACCUUAUUUAUAUUUUCCUUCUUCUAUAAAUUUAUUUUAAAAUCCUUUGAAUAUUGUAACAUAUAUCAACUUCCCUAGAUGACCUCGCUGAAAAUUCUAAAAUCAGACCCCGGAUCACAAAAAAAAUUAGCUUUUAUUAUUGGAGCAGAGUAAUAUCAGUAAAAACAAAGGCAUUAUUAAAUCUAAUUACAAAUUUCAGCAAGAAAUAUUGAAAGGACCCCUCACAUGAAUGACUGAGAACCGGUCAACAUCCAACAGAUGCCAAGCAGACCAUUGGCCUUGGGGAGAAUAAUAUAAGACCAGUGAAAGCUUUUAUUUCCCAUAUGAGGUUUAUCUCUGGUAUAUUUCAUAAUAACUAAUCGUUAACAACAUCCGAUCGAUCAUUUAACUGAAAUGAUUUCAACCAAGUCUAGUAAGAUAACAGAAGCCUAAAUUACCUUCCAUGAUCAGUCUUUUUUUGGCUCCCCACGCUUCAAUUAAGUUUUAAAUAUAAGGCUCCAUGAGAAAUGAGCCAAGGCAGAAAUACACCAGGUUUCUGACCUUCCAGUGCAUCUAAUACAUGCCUUAACUGAAGCCUUUUUAAGACUCUCGCUUGGUAUUUAUCUCACUAUUGGGGUGAAUAUCUCGUUCCCAGUUCCAUAUUUUCGCACUCAAGAUUACUGAAAAGUUCUACAUGUAUGCAAAAAAUUACUCACACAAAAAAAAAACUGAAUGAAUGUAGUUUUCAUGUCUAAUGUUAUAUUUCAAAAUCACCCAGAGUAAGCUGUCCAAGGGUAGUUUCCCAAGUUCAUGUAAAGAACAUUCUAUCUCAUCUUUGAGUCAAUGGUAAACCACUUAAUUGAAAGGAUCACAACAUUAUAUCCCAAGAAUGUGAUACGAUCCCUUUGGUCACGUAUCAGAGAAGAGGUAAAAGGGAGUCUUAUUAAUAGGAGCACAUGAUAGAACGUGCCCAAGUAGAGUAGGUGAGAAGUUAGGGUAAAAAGGGGGCUCCUAUAAAAACCACCCUUAGGGUUAAACAAGUGGGGGGGAAGUAGGAGGCAGCAAGAGGUUGUGACUGAGGUCGCCACAGGAGGGAGAGAGAAGGCAUGCUGGAGGAAGCUGUUGUCAAGAGUUGGUUCCCUUUCUUCUGUCUAUCUCGUACACAUCUUGUAGAGGAACUUCUGACUUCAGAAACUCUUUAAAUUUGAUACGAAAUCAUGCGACAAACUCUACUAUUUCCUUUUGGUUCAUAUUAGAAUGUUACAAGUACCAAGCUUUUUGACAUGGUUUUUUAACAUUAACCGCAAAACCCUAGUGUUACAUCAUCAUUCCAGGUCAAUGAUAGAAAAAAGCACUUGAAUAGAGUUUCAAGGUGUAGUGAUCUGUGAAGUCUUAUGAGUGUGAUUUUUUCAGGAUGUUACUGACACGAGGAAUGCAAUGGAAGUUCAUUACUAUCUUCCUAGGUUCUCAAGGUGCUGGGCCAGCUGCAGUGUCUGAAGUUCCAUUGUAAUCCAACGUAAAAAAGAGCAAUGCAAGAGCUACUAUUUGAUGUUCCCUCAGGCUCCUGUCAAAAAAAAAGGAAAAAAAACACGACAAAAGGGGAAACAAAUGAAUUUUCUGUCAUGUUAAUGAGUCCCCUCUCCUUAAAGUGGCAAAAUUUGGAUAUGCAUGAGGCAUAAAAAGAAUCAUUCUUCAACUGUCAAAGAAUAUUUUCAGACAGAAUAUAACAAUCUAUGCAAACAAAAGAGUGCCUGGUUGCCUAUACUCUGAGCAGAAAAAUACCUUCAACUAACAAAGAUAGCGCAGAGCUAAGUGAAGCAUUUGAUCUGAGCAUUGCCAGAGGCCGAACAUUUGUUUCUCCUAUUUUUGGAACCCAUGUACCAAUAGGAAAUGAACAUAUUGGUUGUUGGAGAAUUGGUAGGGAACUAGAGGAAUGCCUAAAAUGUCUGCAUAUACCUGCAUGUAGGAAAAGAAGGGGGUUUAUAACUAAGUCUUUGAGAUGGUCUAGACGCUUGGAUAGUCGCCAUUUUAAUGCAACAACUGUGAAUAUAAGAAAUACUUACAUUUCAGUAUCCCUGAAAGUGAUGCAAGAUGCAAUAACUGCGGAAAAGAACCAUCCUUUGCAGAAGAAUGAAUAAUGGGGACUGUUGCCACCUCAUUCUGCAAAAUCUUCAAGGCUAUGUCAGCCAGUGUAUCGUAAGGUCCCAUCUGCACCAAAACAGCCAAGAUGGGACAAAUUAUUUACUCGUAAAAAUUAUAUUGGUCUCAUCUCAGUCGCAAUAGAGUUUUCAGACAAUGAAAACGGUCAUUAAAGUCACAGUUGCCAGAGAAACUCAAAGGGUGGCGAAGUUACCAACAAAAAUAUUCCAGGAUAAAAGGAAAUUCCAAAAAAAUAACAUAAGGCUAAAAACAUAUGUUAUGAGUACAAAGGAGGCCCCUGCAAAGAGUGACUGAGGCUAGAUAAUUUAAGUGCUGAAUUGCAAAUAAUAAAGUACAUAGGUCACUCCUGUCUUUGACAACGUUUUGCCACAGUUGUCAUAAAUUGCAUGAGACUAGGUUCCGCAGGAUAGAGUACCCCUCAGCAUGAAAACAAAGAGGUAGUUAAGGAAAACAGUAGGCGUAACUAAAAACAGGAGAUUGCACAGGAACGGAUCCCUUCAACAAUGGAAAAAGAGAUUCCUGUCAUAGGAAUCAGAAACAAAGACGUGGACCGUGCAGGGUGUCCUUUACAUGUCUGUUGAUCUCACUUGAAGAUCACAGUGAGUAAUCAACCUAGCAAUCAUGGGCUUGUGGACGAUUACAUUUGGGAUUCAACUGUCAGAAAACGGCAAAAAAUUACUCCAUUUCGGUAACAUGGCAUAGAGGACUAGUGGUCCACAAUAAGAGAGGCAGAAAUGCAGGCUGUGAUGUUAAAAAAAAGCGGUUUUCCCAAAGGGUACUGUAAGAUGUUGGAUGGUCAACCACUUCCAAGUUGACUGCAGCGCCUAGCUCAUUGUCACCCAUUCCUUCAGCAAAGAGAUGUGUUCCAGAAACUGGAGCAGCACGAAUGUAGAGAGGCUCUGAUGGUGAGGGAUAUCAGAGAGAGGGCGAAGGGAAGAACGGAUCUCAGCAUAAUCGCAAAUGAAAGGUUUCCACUGUGUACAGAGUUGGAUAGACGUUACAAGGUGGGAUAUACGCUUCAGCAUGCAGGUAGCCAAAGGACACAAGCAAGAUCAGGUCAGAUGAAGGGAUCCCACAUUAGGGCCACUUACGAUUAUGUCUGUACACCAGCAGUGACCAGACGUCACAGAGGAGGCUAGGAGCAUCACCCCCACCUCUCAUAUUGGAGCCAAAUAAAGGAAGCUUGCAUGGUGGAAGAACCGCCAGCACAGGUUCAAGAAUCAAUGGGUGAAUACAGGGAAGUGAUAGAAAAAUCACCCCAAAGUCAAUCAAAAGACAAGCAAUAAAUACGAGAUAUGUGGACGCCAAUUGAGAUUAAGGAAUGAGUUCAUUGGAUUUGACCAGAAAGCCAAACAACAGAAGGAUGAAACUGAGAGAAAGGAGAGAACAAAAUCAGAUAAAAAAUUGCAUAGGCAGUCCAUUUGGUUUGCCACAGAAUCUGAGCCAUACUGUACAACCACAGGAUAUAAUAAAUGUUUCGAACUCAGUACACUACUGCCGAUGCAAAUAAAAUCACCAAGAGCUGUCAAAAUAUACAGUUUUAAAGGAAAGAAUGUUCACGCCCUGGAAUAAAAAUUGAAUGUCCCAUGCAAUCAAAGUAUGAACCAAACUUAAGAUAUCCACCAAUAAACUUUUGCGGUGUAAAAUAGUCAGCAUUCCACUCUUGCUUUGUCAUUUGCCUCAUCUAGAUAGCAACAACUAAAAGAAAAAAGAACCAGUUUACGUCAGCAAUAAGACAAGCUUACAUGCAGUAAAUCCCUCUGAAUCAGUCUUCCAUGAGCAUCAACUUGCCUGUGUAGUUGUUGCUUUCCCUCUUUCCAAGCAGAUAUUGUAUGGGUCUCAAGCUCCUCCUCAGUCAGAUUUGAGCCAUGAUUUCCAAGCUGCGGUUGUUCCAAAUGUGGAUAAAUUUACACACAUCAUAUCGAUUGAUAAAUAAUCAAGAGAACCGAAGAAAAUUCAAAAUUGUAAAAAAUAUAAGAACGAAAAAAAAGGACCCGCUUGGUGGACAGAUACUGUAUUCAGAACCUUCCCAAUUAAGAAACAAGAUAACUAAAAUAUGAUAUACCAUAAUAUAGGCUGUACGCCUAAAAAACAAAUUAAAGAAGUUAAGAUUCAUGAUCUCAGACUCCUUUCACAAAAAAAAAUCAACAGUAACUGGCCUGUACAGUAAUUUGAGUUUGACAAACGAAUUGAAAUGAAUUUACAUCAGCCGAUAUGGAAUCAUAUAGGUCAAUCAAUGAAACCCAGAACUGCAAGGGGGAAAGAACAGACAGCAAAGUAGGUGUCUGACUCUCGUUUGGCUGGUAUGCACCGAUAAUAUAGGCAUCUGAUCCAGAUAAGUCUAGAUAUUUCGCUUGAAGGAUUGAAACGUACGAGAAAUGGUGAUUAUCUGCGCGGUAUCUGACAGUCAUAUAAGAACGUAUCUAAUAUUUUUUUCAUUAACAAUCAAACCUUGUUUAUUGGUCUAUACACCAAAUAUUGGAAUGUGAUGAAAAACGGUGCCAUUCAAUGGCGCAUACAAAUGCAAGAAUUUAAAUUAAGAACAGAAAAAGCGAUUCAAGAAAACAGUUUAUUCCAAGAAAAAAUAUAAAUCGACUGUAAAUGUCCACAGAUGUAAAAUAGACCUAAAUAUGUUUACAUAAUGAGAAAGAAAUAUUUCCAAUUAAAAUAACAUAUAAUUGUACUGUAGUAAAUAAAGUCAUUGAAUGAUGCUGAAUACCUCUCUCAGAAUCAAUAUAAAGUCCAACGCACUAAGCAUUCCAACAAAUUGUCCCCGGGAGAAAUCCCAUAGUGGAGCCACAGGCAUUCCCUGGAAAAGUCAGACGGGGUAAUAACAGUGAUGGAAAUCGUUCAGAGGCGCUGAUAAGUGAAUUUCCCAAGAACUAGCAUAGCUAUAAACCUAUGUUUAAAAGGUUUUUCCAAAAAGCGUAAUGAUUUGAAAAAGAACAAAGGCAUAUCAGUACCAAUGGGAAAAAAAUAAUUCACCAUUGGAACGAUAUUCAAACUAGGCAAAUCUUCCAGCCAUAUCUGUAAGUUUUAGUAGUAACAACAAAUCCAGUAUGCAGAGUACACAAUCAAAUUUUGCUAGAGGGGCAACUGCAUUACCAGAAUAAUGAACCUAACUCAGGGGGAAUGAUGAGAGUUUAAUUAUCGGCAUAAGUAUCGAAGGAAGAAAGGAAUGGAGGGCAGGUUCUUUUACUAGACUCCAAGGUAGGAGGUUCUCACAUCUUCUACCUGGGAAUACCCUUUACUACGUUCUUACACUAAAGGGUUGAAUAAAGAUUGUGCAGAAAUUUGAAAGCAGAGUAGAACGAAAGGAAAGAUUACUUCAUUAAUUGGAGGCUAAUUCUACACUUCUCUGAAAGAUAACAUCUAUCCAGCCUGUCACAAAUGAAGCCAUUCAACUUCUUUGGAGAAUCAUUAAUGAAUAUUUGAUGAUUCAGUUCAUGGGAAAUAAUGUGAAACAGUUUACAAGAAAUUAAAUACACUCGGGAUCAAUCAGACACAAAGCGUUUGUGGGAGAUCCCCCCGCUUUCAUGGAGGCAAUGUAGUCAGGGACAGAUCAACGGGGGGACAAUGUCAUUCUGCAUGUUUGGGAGUUUCCAAAAGACUUGUAUGUACCAAUAGCUCAGUAAAGGUCUUAUAUUUAUUUUUUGCCAUAUCCAUAUAUAUGUUGCCUAUGGAUCAGGAUUCUCCUGUUGUCUCCUUUCUUUAGAAUUGUCAGGUUAUAUGCUUAUCUCCUCAGACUUUGGUUUCCUUCUUUAAAUGCAACACCGAACUCUGUGAGAUCCUUUAACUAUUACAAGAAUGGAUCUAUACCCCCUUCAAACAAGCUGAAGCCAGACACAGGGUUAGAAUAUAUUUUACCAUGAAUUACUAAUAGGUAUCCUGAGUAGAAAAUUACCACUAAAAAAUAUUAUAGCAAUUCGUAGAAGUUUGUUGCAUAUGUCUUGACUAAUUAACUGAGAUAUUUAUUCUGAGGGAGUCAACAACGUACCUGCUCAUAUAGGAUAUGGAAUGCUUGUUUCACAGGCAAAUUAACAUCAAGGGCAAUAACCUGAACAAUUUGAAGCAACAGUGAAAUAAGUUGUACAAGAAGCAAAGUUCAUAUGCUUUUAAAAUGAAAAUCUGGAAGUUCUGUUAAUAAUCAUUCAUAUAAGGCAAUAUAUGAACCUUCCCAGAGUCUGGAAGCAAGUCAUAAGCCGUAUGUGUUGAUAAAAAUACAGAUAUUCGAUGACGAGAUACAUCGAUAUCAGCAUCUGAUAUCCUCAGAGGUUCAGUUUGCAGGGUUCCACCUGAUACAGUCACCUGAUUGACAUUGAAGGAAUAGAAAUGCAAGAGAAUAUUAAUAAAUCGUCUAACAAGGCAUGAGAGUGCAAAAACCAAAAAAAGUUACAUCAUUCAAAGCAGUAAGCUCCUCUACUAAUCACGACCAUCAGAAAGAAACCAACGAAGUUAACAUGCUGAUGAAAAAAUUAGUCCAUUGGUCUUCCUCUAGACGAAUAAUUAAGUAAUUGUUCAUUGAGACAAUUAAUGUUUCCACGGUAAUAUAGAUUCAGGGGAAGAAACACAAGAAUGAGGAAGGUAGCAAUUUUGUAUACGUGUGUUGAUUUCCACCCUUAACUUUUUGUUGUUUUUUUAAGGGUGGGUAUCAGAUAGCAGAUGAAAUGAUUAAAAUCAGGCAUAGUGAAGCAACUACUUUCCGCAUUUUUGAAAAAUUCUAAGGCAAAAAGAGAGAAGCAGCCUGGCAUUGUUACGAAUGUAUUCAAAAAUAGCAAUCACUAGGCAAAUUACAUGGCCAAAUAGUGGAAUCAGAAUGGGCUAUCAUAGGAAAAAUAGUUAGCUCUUGAUAAACCAGAUUACAUGGCCAAGGUUAAGUGAAACUACAUCAUCCAAUUAGCUGACGACAAUGCAACAGGCGUAGAAGAAAAGCACGAAAUUUUGCAAUGUUUUAUUUGCAACGUGUUCACCAAACAAUCAUUGACAUGGCUCAACACAAUUUAUUCUCAAAGUGCAUACCUUCAGCUAAUCACUGAGAUACUCCAAUUUUCAAAAACUAAUUUCUUCUCUAUUGACGAAUCAUCAUUAAAACAAACACGGUAAAUACUGACUAUCAAAAAUUCUGCGUAUUAUUCAUUCCUUUGAGCUUUCUGAACAAUGCACACUCACCUUGCCAAUACACACACGUAGAUAGGCAGUAUUCUUAAACAUGGAAAACUGUAUCGAAAGGUAAUAACACAGCGAGAGAGAUAGAGAGAGAGAGAGAGAGAGAGAGAGGAGAGAAGAAGAGAGUACUUACNNNNNNNNNNNNNNNNNNNNNNNNNNNNNNNNNNNNNNNNNNNNNNNNNNNNNNNNNNNNNNNNNNNNNNNNNNNNNNNNNNNNNNNNNNNNNNNNNNNNNNNNNNNNNNNNNNNNNNNNNNNNNNNNNNNNNNNNNNNNNNNNNNNNNNNNNNNNNNNNNNNNNNNNNNNNNNNNNNNNNNNNNNNNNNNNNNNNNNNNNNNNNNNNNNNNNNNNNNNNNNNNNNNNNNNNNNNNNNNNNNNNNNNNNNNNNNNNNNNNNNNNNNNNNNNNNNNNNNNNNNNNNNNNNNNNNNNNGAGAGAGAGAGAGAGAGAGAGAGAGAGAGAGAGAGAGAGAGGGGAGAGAGAAAUGAGAUUACUUCCAUGAAAUAAUUAAAUAUUCGAGACAAUUGAAUAUCAUAGCUAAGUAUAAAGAAAGAAAAUUCAGUUUCUAAUAAACUAGGAAUAAUCCAGGUCAACAUACCACACGCUGAAAUGUUUCAUUAUCCACAUCCAUAUUCACUCCACAUGUAGGUGUGUCAGGAUUCGGGAUUGGAGCAAUAGGGUCAGGUUCCCUAGUUAUAACGACAGUAUUUACUACCCCAUAGUUUCCUGUCACGGAGGGUUGCCGUUCAUCAUGCCUCCAUUCCCCAUCAACAAAAAACUUGUACUGCAUUGACAAAAUGCAUUAAGGUCAGUAAUUAUAACAGCAAACCAUUAUGCUAAUCAAGUGCUCGGAUCUCGUUCUACAUUAUCUAUUUCUCUCGCCUCAAAAGACCAACGGCAUUCAAGGGGAAAGAUGUCAGGAGAAGGAAACAAGAAAAAUUUUGCACUCCAGAACACAAAAAUUAAACUUCUAAGAUACUUUGACCUCGCAGGGAGGACAGUUGACUUGUGAAUGUCUUUCAGACCAUUGACUGCGGUGAAUGCCCACUUUUCUUAGAAUGUUGGAUUCUUUUUUGGGCGCCAUACUUUUGGCAUACAAAGGUAAAUUCCUUACGAAUAGGCACCGUCUUGGAGUUUUUCAGUCAUCAUAUCACCUAGUUUUCGCUUUUUUAAUUUGGAAGAUGAAAUGAGGGUGCUCUUAUUGAACUCAAUUGGGGGAGGAAAUUACCAAAUUUUACUUUAAAUGCGGUUUUUAAGUAUAUUGAGGUGAACAAUACUGUGCAAUUAGGAGAUCUCACCUGAUGAAUUCCUGGCGUCAAGCUGCAAAUGGCCUGAAAUACGGUGGGACAACCCUCCACUGGAGACAUUGGCAAGUGUUCGGCCCACCUAAAAACAACGCAAUAAAAAUAACUCAUGAUCCCUUAAAAUGGAAAAAACAUCCGACAAGCACAUGUAUAAUCCACAUCUCCACCAAUUGUUUUUCUCCUUUCAACCCCAUUUUCAAGUAGAGAUGGAAAUUCUCUACGCAACAAGGAAGAAAAACCAUCUAUCAGAGAAGCCCCAGAACAAAUUAGGUAUCCUCCAAGCAUACCCUAUCAAGAACAAUCAGAAGUAAAAGAAAAAAGAAAAAAGGAUACGAAUGAAUAUUUUCAAAAGCUAACCUAGUGAAAGAACCGGUGAGAAAGACCCUCCUACCACCAUACGGCCAGAAAAACCGCGUGGGAAUCAGCACAGUGCCCGAAGCUCCGCUAGCAUUUUGUCCUCCUGCGUCCGUCUCCGACGAAUACAUCUGGCCAAAUAUUCCGCGUGACGAAAAACACUGAAUCUGAUGCAACACUGAAUUCUGCGGAAUUGCGGCUCAAGAAUCGUUUCCAAUCCCUGUAACGCUGGCCUCCGAGUCGAACAACCACCUUCUGCCCCGAUGCUCCUCUUCUUCAGGAGGCCUCAUGAAGAUCCCGGAGGAGGAAGGUCACAUCCCAUUCCGGAAGAGGCAGCCUGCAGCCCAAAACUCCGAAACCAGACCGAAACCCUCAUCGGAGCCACUCUCUCCCCGCACAGCGGACGCAGCGAACCCUCCCCGAGGAACCCUCAAUCAGUCGACCCACACCUGCAGGCGAGUAAAACCACAGCAGCACAUCUGACAGCAACUCCGACCCCAAAAACAAUGCGCCGGAAAAUCCUCCGGCAAGAUCCCCACCUCACUCAACCAGAAACCGGAAGCCCACCCCCAAUUCAAGCAAACUCCAACCUAUCGGGCCUUCGACCCGCCCAAUCCGCUUCUCCCCCCGAUCCCCACGCAGCCGAGCUUCGGGAACCCUAAAUUAACCAGGGAAAAAUGCGGGAACGGAGGGGAUUCUCAACCCUAGAGACUCCAACUGCGUCCCCGGCGAGCACAUCCGGAUUGGUGGCGCGUCCAAUUCACCAGAGCAGGAACGACGAUAACCAGCGCGACCCGCCCGGUAAAAAAGCAAAAUUUUGGAAUAAAUAAUCCGAAGAAACAAGCCCGGCCUCCCGGCGACGGAAUCCUUCGAGCGGGAGAGACGACGACGACGACGACGACGAUGACGGAGAUAGAGAGAGAAAGACACAGAAAGUCUCCACAGAGACAGAGAGCGAGAGAGGGGGCAGGCAGCGGCGGUGAUUGGAUCAGGCGAUUGGGCUGGCGGCUUCGGUGCGUCGUGAUAUGUACCCCUCUGGGCGUGUGGUCACGAGCUCUGCCCGGCAGGGGAACGUUGUGGGCUGCCUGCCGGCUGACCGGGAUUCCCGGGCAGAUUGGGAUGGGACUCGACGGGGCCCACCAUUUUUAAUUAUAUUAUAGUACUGCAAUACAGUAUAGUAUGCUUAAAAAUAGGAUGUAAAUGGGCUGAAUAUAAAGCCCAUAACCACGGCCCGGCCCAUUUUAAUAGCCCAAGUAAGACUUUUCCUGAGCGUCUUCGGACGGCGGCUACAGCCAGUCAGCACCUGAUCCAAUUUUGACACGUGUCCGGUUCCCGUGAAUCCCAUUUUGACACGUGUCGAUUGUGACCCACAUCACCAUGCAUGUGUCGCGGGAAUGUUGGCAACAAUAAACAUAUAAUAUUUUGAUUUAUUACCCAAAAUACAUUGUCAUUCUAAUCUUCUGUCCAAAAAAAAGGGUGCACAAGGAAAUAAAUCCCACAUUAAAUCAUGUUUUUAAAUGGACUCACUUCGAUGAUAUUUACCCUAAGCAAGAGAGAGAAAAUAUGACUAAAUGUUUAUUCAAAUUAUUAAAUCAAUAGGUAAGAAUUAUAUUUUUAAUAAAAUUCAUUAUUCAUAAUUAUAUAUAUAACAAUGUACGUUCAUGGUUUUGAAUAAUGUCUAUGACCCAAGUUGGGUCCACCAAGUUGGAUUCCCCCCCCCCCCCCACUAAAGACUCUGAAUAACCCCCAACCCAUUCAAGAAUAGUAAUGUCACUUGACUUGUGUUAGUAAUCCUUUUUCUAUUAUUAUAGUGGAUAUUUAAAAAGAACACUAAUUUUGUGUGACAAAAAUCAAGUAAUUAAAAUGUAAACAUCAUCAUUAGAGCUCUGCUAGGCUCUUUUUUAUGGCAAAUCCCAUAUCCUUCUUAGUAUAUCACAAUAUUUUUUUAUGGAAUUAUCUAAAAUCACUUCAAAGAAUGUUUUGAAAUGUAAGCACUCAUAUAUAUAUUUUAUAUAUAUUUAACCAAAAAGGGUUUAAACACAUGCCCACUUCACUACAAUCUUGUAGGGAAUGAUAAUUGUGAAAUAUCAUGCUGAAUAUAAAUGAUAAAUGAAGGGAUUUGAGAGCAAAGUUUUGAGAACCAAGAACUAGAUGAGUGCUCCAUGCAUUCACCAUCUUCCCCUUUUUGGGCAAGAUAGGGAAAUGUUUUUUCAAAUAAUUCAUACAUUAAUUCACAGAAAGGUAAAAUCUUGGGGUUUAAAUAUGUUCAUAUGCCCAUUGAAACUAAAUGUAGGCUUUUAAGAGUUUCACCAUAGUAGUUCUAAAUGGUCUCCCUCACUCUAAGCCCUCUCUAAAUCUCUCUCAACAAUUAAUCCUCCACAAGUUUUUUAAUUUAUCCUAUACCAUGAUUUUGGAAUAAUUUUCGCCUUCAUUGUAUAUGUGUCUCCUGAAAGGUUAUAACUCCCCUAGGACAAUAUGAAGAGAUUAAAACCCAACAAAAGUGGGAAACUUGCCAGUCAAAUGUCCACCAUGGAUUCCACUCUCAUCCUAAUACCCCCCAAUUUUGUGUUAAUACCUGGUCAGAAUGCAUAUUUAACAGCCAUUAUAAUACAGGGGUUUUCAGUAUUAUUAGAAUUUUGAGAGGAGCAAAACUAAUGAAUGAAUAUUUGGAAGAUGGGGUGAAACGGUGAAGGUAAAUAUGAAGUGUAGUGUGCGAAAAAAAUUUGCGUUUUUUCUAGGGACUUCAGAGAAAAUAAACAAUUAAUUUACCAGGGGAUUGAAGGGAAGAGGAAACAUACGGGACAAAAAAAAUAUAAUUUCCGUUUUGCAGUCCUUCCACAGCAGAGGAGAGAGAGAGAGAGCGAGAGAGAGAGAGAGAGAGAGAGANNNNNNNNNNNNNNNNNNNNGAGAGAGAGAGAGAGAGAGAGAGAGAGAGGAGGGAGGAGGGGGGGAGAGAGAGAUUCGACAGUGAAUCCUUCCUUCCCUCCGAUCGAAGAUGACCGUUGCCGGAGUAGGGUUUUCUUGGGGAGUCGGUCCUCUGUUAUCGUGCCGAGGGGCGGCUGCGAGGACGGUGGAUUGGGAAUUAUUGCUGAGUUUGAUUUGAUUCUCGGGCCCCGUCGAGGGGAGUAGGGAGACUGAUGCGAGGAAGGGGGUCUGGAGCGAGCGGGAUAGUCGGGGCGGCGCCGAUCGCAAUGGCGUGUGGCAUUUGAAGUCGGAAGGAUGCGUGGAUGGCGGGAUGGGAGGGCCUCCGUGGGAGAAAUUGGAGGGAAGGUCUUGUCGCUGGUUUGUUGACCUUGUUGUACGCUUUGCGGAGGGAGAGGAGAAGGAGGUGGGAGAGGGUCGGAGAAGGGGAAGGGAGUGGCUGUGUUGGUGGUUCGAGAGCGCGCCUGCACUGAUACUUGCAUUAUGCCGGCAGUGAGGAGAAGGGAGGAUACAAAGAAGGGGCGAGGGUUGGAGAUUGUGUAUGGAGAGGGCGGGGAGAUGGGGGACAAUGAACUCGAAGAUGGUGAAGCCUAUUCGGGCGAGGAGGAUAGCGCCACCAUCGACCCUGACAUCUCCCUCUCCUACAUCGUAAGACCCCCCACGGACUCCAUGUGUAGCCCCGGCGUCCAUUAAUCGAUUUCUUGGUUCUCAAAGUGGAAGGAUGAAUUUUUUUUUUUGGGUUUAGUUCGUUCAUUCUUUAGCCUUGGAUUUGAGAAAAGUUCUUGAUGUUCUUUUCAUUAUUUUUUGCGACGGUAAUUCAAGUGUCUGCACAUAGUCAGGUUGUUCAUGCCCGUAUUGUUACCACUUUGUACUUGUAGAUACGGUCUCAUCACUGUGAAUGAGCGCUAUAUACUACUGCGAAAUUUUUUCUUUUUACGAUCAUAGCUUGGAAUAUUUCGCUAGAAAGAAUUUCCCUUCAUGUGCUUUCAGGAUGACAAGAUCCAAGGUGUCUUGGGCCAGUUUCAGAAGAAUUUUGGAGAUGGAGUGUCUAGAGAAAGUUCGGGUAAGAUUCAGAGCAAAAAAAUCGCAUUCUCCAACUCUGAUGUUGGAUUAUAGUACUGUGGCUAGCAACUGGGGAUGUUUAACAAGCAGUCUUCAUAAUUUCACAGGGAGAUGGCUAUAUGAAUAUGGUUCAUUCUUACCAGUUUAUCAGCGUGCGCCAUCUGCCUACUCUCAUCCUGCAUGUCAACCGAGGGUACCUACAUACAACGCACAGAAGGCUCCUUUCAAGGUGUCAGCUUUAUUCUCACUCUUUUAAAUUAUCACUUUACAAAGACUUGCAUCGGCCUGUAGUUGGACCAGUUGAUCUGCAUCUUAAGGAUCAUUUUACUUGUCGGAACAGGUUGCACAUCAAACUCCUGCAGUUUCGUCCAGUGGAUCCAUUCCCCUUAGAAGUAACUCUGUCUCAGUAAUACCAGCUGUGGAUGUCAGCAAGAGAAACAACACAUGUGUCAGCACACCUACAUCUGGAGAAUUUAUUCUGCGGGAUAAUUCAAGUCAUAGAUUUGAGGGUACCAGUGACUCUAAUAUACUGAAGGUUCGUAUUAAAGUAGGGCCUGACAAGGUGUUGCCAAGAUCAAGUGCUGCAAUUUACAGCGAUAUGGGCCUUGAUUAUUCUCCAUCAUUAUCAGCAGAGGACAGCCCAAGUGGGGAAUGUAAUUUGGAUGACCUAUGUGCUACGCAAGAAUCUCCAAUGGCUAUUUAUCAGGUCAUCAUUAUUAUCCAUAGUCUGUUUUUAGUGGUAUUUUUCACGACUUAAUCUUGUUUAUUUUUUCAAUUUUGUGUGACAGGUUAUGAAAAAUUUUAUCACUGUGAGUGGAGAUAUUCUUUCCCCUCUUCCUGACAAUCUGUUGUGCCUGAUGGAAAAAGAAGGUACAUAUCAAAAGGAAUGUAAGUUAGGUUCUCUCCACAAAUUUGAAGAUGAGGCUUUAUCUAUGAACAAUGGCAAAAGUUACGAAGAUGGACAAGAAAAGUCUGUUGAGACAAAUGCCAGGCCCCUGGAAUCAAAGAGCACCAAUUUGAAACGUGGAGAAAACAGUACAACUGGGAAAACGAGGACAUAUUUAGAUAUAGAAACAUCAGGUAACAGAGAGCCUGAGCCUACGCCUACUUCUGUAAAUGCUCAUAAACUGCCUGCUUCAAAAGCUGCUGGUGAAAAAGAUGAAAAACAACUAUAUGGAGGGGCAGGGAACGCAUAUGGUACCUCACGAGGCCCCAGUAAGGUUUUGGGCUUGGACACAGAUUUUUCACCUGAUUCAUCAACGGAUGAAUCAUUGGUGUGCAGUACUACUAUGGAAAAUACAAAGGUUGGCAGUUUCGGGGAUGAUUCCUCACAUUUCAAGGGGAAAGUGAACUUCAAAAAGAGUUCAACUGGGAAGCCAUUGCAAGAAGGAAAAAGUAAUGGUACCAAAGACGAACUGUUUGACUCACAUAGCAUGUGUGGAGAAAAAGCAGAUAAGAACUACAAUGUAUUAAAUUCAGAGUUUGUUGGAUUGAUGGGAAGCAAUGAUCUGACAGUCAAGACUGUGGACCAUGUGAAGGCAAAAACUCAGAAAACUACUCUGCAUGGACCAUAUGAUGAGAAGAUGUUCCUAGCAAAGGUUGCCAAAGAAAAACCAACGGAAAACCAAACAAGUGGAAUUCAACACAUUGAGAUUGCCAGGAAAAAGAUUAAGGGCAAAUCUUUAUCUUCAAAGGAGAAAAAGAAAAUUUGUUGUACGAAAAGUGAAAAUUCUGAAAAGAAGCGAAAUGGUAUAAAAUCUCAUAAAUCGAGUAGGAUUCUUUCUAAACAAUGCCAAAGAAAUUCACUUUGUGAGGCGGAAGGUGGAGAAAUGGAGAAUAUUAAUGAUUCAUUUGAAGAAGUGGUCACUAAUACAAUAAAUGAUUCGAAAUUUGAACGUGAGAAUUUUCCAUUGUCUGAACCAAUAGAAAAGAAUUCAGAAAUCUCACCUUUGAUGGCGGAUGUACCAAGUUCUGAUGCAGCUUCAGCACCUUCAGCUCAUGUCAUUCAGGAAAAUUGGGUCUGUUGUGACAAAUGUCAGAAAUGGCGCCUUUUGCCAUAUGGGACAAAUCCUGACCAUCUCCCCAAAAAAUGGCUUUGCACUAUGCUCAGUUGGCUGUAAGUAAUUUUCUAAAAUUUAUCCCAAGGAGUUGAACUUGUUGUUUUGCUGCUGUGACUAAUUGCAGAUUUUAUUGGGCAAUAAUUUCAGCCGUUAGAUACAUGGAUCGCGCCUUGUGCUUGCAUCUGAUUUAUUUUUAGUUGAACAUACUGCCAGUAACAACUGUGUUUUAUGUGCUCUGAUGCCUUACUGCCUCUUUCUUGUGUUUGCGAUGCAGUUUGUUUGUAUGCAUUUAUGUUUUGAUGUCUUAUUCAUUUCUUUCUCCCACUACCGACUCCUGCAUGCAAUCUCUAUCCAGGCCUGGAAUGAACAAGUGUAUUAUCAGUGAAGAUGAGACGACUAGAGCUCUCCAUGCUUUGUACCAAGUACCUCUCCCUGAGAACAGAAGUAAUAUGAAUGGUCCUACUGAUGCAGCUUUACUAGGAACGGCUUUCACAAAUGAACGUCAUCAGUAUCAAAAUAAUGAUUCUGUUAUGCUUUUAUCAUCCAGUCAUGGAAAGAAAAAGUAUACGAUGAAGGAUAAAUUGCAUCCCAUUGAUCCAAUUCAGCUACCAAGUUCUGUCAAGAAGAAAAAACAGGUUUUUGUUAAGGAUAGAAGCUUUAAUGGCGUACAUGAAGUUGAAUCAAAACAAUCACAGAGAUCCUCUGUUCAGCUUAUCAGCAAGCCAGCAGAGUCUUAUUAUGGAAGUGAUGAUGAGAGACAAAGAGAGACAUGCAAAACAUUGAAACGAUAUUCCAUCGAAGGUUAUGCCCCUCUCUGUUCUUUGUGAUGCAUCAUCCUUUUUUACUUUUAAAAAGGAUGACAUUUAUCUUCAUAUGUGUAAUUAUUCCUGACAUGAUACUUACAUAACUGUAUAUAUUCACUGCAGGUGAAAUCCUAGAAGAAGAUUUUAAACCGUUAAGAUCCGAGAGCAAGAGAGAUUUUAAUCAGGCUUCAUUGCAUCCUUCCAGAAAUGAUUCAGAGGCAAACUUCUCAGGGUCUGUGAAUAAAUUGACAACAGCUGCACACUUGGCAUCGAUUGGAGACUGCAAAGAUCAGUUUAUUGCUUCUGGCAUGAAAGAGUCUGAUAAAAUGUUUUCUUCUACAAAGAAAAGAAAGAUAAGCUUGGAGAACUUUCGGGUCCACUCUGAGACUGUGGUGGGUAGCGGAUAUAUUGCAGAUGAUGGAUUAAGCAUCAAAGAUGAAAUAAGUGAAAAUAACCCAAGGAAUGAGAAGAAGACAGAAAUUUCAAGGAUCAAGGGAAAAGAAUCCGUUAAAAUUAAGAUGGGUAGUAAAAUUGACAAAAAUGGCCGGGUAAUGAGAAUUUUGUUGUCUAACGUCAAGGAGCAUAUGCCUCAUGGAAUAGAGAAACGUAAUGGCUCUACUGAGCAACAAAGCGACCAGUUCCAAUGUAAUGCAUCUCCAAAAAGUAUGGACGGUUUGGAUUCAUCGAAAAAGGAUUUGUCCUGUGUGCUGCAUUCUACAGUUGCUACUUCAAGCUCAUCCAAGAUUUCAAGCUCUCAUAAAAGCAAGUCAAAAUUUCAGGAAGCUAGAGGUUCUCCUGUAGAAUCUGUUUCUUCAUCACCUUUGAGGAUUUCCAAUCCUGUUGCAUUUGAAGGUAAAUCUAAUGCCUUAGGAAAAGAUGCUGUGACUGGUAGCUUUUCUAUCAGAGGUAGCCAAAGAAGAUCCUCUGACGGUGCAGUUGGUGGUGGGAUAGGACUGUCUGGGACAGUAAGAAGAGAGAAAGAUUCUUCAGUUGCCCGCUGUGGAUCUUUGGACGACCACUGCGCCCUGGAUUUGGGGGAUCUGGAAUGUACUAAACGAUCUUCUGAAUCUUUGAACAAGGAUGCAACUCCAAUAUUAGUUGAAAAUGGAAAUGUCGUGCUGUACUUGAAUUCAAUGAGGAACUCGCAUGACGAUCAUUCACUGUCUACUUUUAGAGAAAAUAAUAUGGUUUUUGGUGAUGUGAGCAUUUCAGAUCGUUAUAAUAAAUAUCUUGACGACAUUCCAAGUAAGAAUCAUUGCUAUGACCUGGAAAAACUGAAUAAUAACAUCCAUGCCAAAAAAUCAGUUAAAGGUCCUUCACCCAGGUUGAAUGAGAAGCAUGGAAGUUCGAAAUGCUACACUGGUAACAAGAAACUUAAGAUACGAGAUUCUUCUAGUGAGCAUAAAAAAUUAGACUCUUCUAAGAAACGGAAUAUCUCCAGACAUGGUGCUGAUAUGGAUUCUCAUGGUCGUUCUCCAUAUCAUGAGGAUUUGAUUGAUGAAAAGUAUAUUAUCGUGCAGAAAGAUGAUGAAAAGAGAGAAGCAGAGGGGAAAUCGCCAGUUGAAUGUGGGCGGAAUAGCCAGUCAAACUUUCUAUCUGAUGAAAAUUUGGAGGCUGAUAGCUUGCUGGCUAAACAGCAAAGGGGUAUCCACUCUAGGGACAGUGGAGCUGGAACUGUCGCCAGACAGGUGGGCAAGUUUCGUUUGCAAAAUAGUCCUCACACAGCAAAUUUUCAUGGGGAUGAAAAGCCAUCGACCUAUUUAAUCUCCAAUCAAUCUGAUAGAUUGAAGAAAAAACCUGGAAGAGGAAAGUCUCCAUUUGUCUCACAUUCUGGGGAUAAGCAAGAAACACAAGUACAAAUCUCCCAAACAGUCUUGUCACACACCAACGCAGGCAAGGCAGUAGUGUCAUCUAUUAGUGCUGCAAGCAAUGAUAUAUUGAAGAAGGCUAAACAACCUAAGCUUGAUAGCCAGAAUGCAAUGAAUCACAAUGGUUUGAGACAUCCGAUACCUGGCGAAAUUGAUGCCCCAAAUUUCAUCAGAAGGGAUGCUAACCAAAGUAUAACUACUGCUUUCAAGGAGGCCAGGGAUUUGAAACACACUGCUAACAGAUUAAAGGUUUGUUUUAGUGUCUGUCCUUGUGAAGAAUUACAUGUUUACUUAUACUGUUGAGUAAGUGAAUAUUUUGUCCAUCUGUGGCAGGGUGAAGGAUUGGAGCAUGAAAGUACUGGUCUAUACUUUGAGGCAGCAUUGAAGUUUCUUCAUGUGGCUUCCCUUCUUGAGUCUUCAAGUACUGAAAGUUGCAAAAAUGGGGAGACUACCCAAUCAAUGUCUAUGUAUGCUGAUACUGCUAAACUCUGCGAGUGAGUAUAACUAGGCUCGAUAACUAUAUUGUUGCCUUUAAUCAUCAUGAUGUAAAGUUAGACAUUCUGUGCUUACUUUUAUUCCCGUCAUAUGUAUAUAUGCCUUGUAUAUUUUGCCAUCUCUAAUAUAUGCUCUUGAUUCUUGUGCCUGUCCCCAAAAGAUGGCUGGUUAUGUUUGGUUAAGAAUCUUUUUCGGAGCAUAUUUAACUAUGAACAACUUUUUUUUUGGGAUAUUGGAUUUUGAGUGGAAUAUUUAUCUAUUGUUUAACUAGACUUUUUUAACUUAGGUUUGUUGCUCAUGAGUAUGAGAAAUGCAAAGAAAUGGCUGCAGCUGCCCUGGCUUACAAAUGCAUGGAAGUGGCAUUUAUGAAGGUUGCCUUUUGUAAACAUUCCAGUGCAAGUAAAGAUCGGCAUGAACUGCAGACGACUCUACUCAUGAUCCCUUCAGGUAAGCCAACAAAUUUUGUGUAGCCUGCUAAAUAAGAACUAUGAUGCUUCCAUAAGCCAAUGUUUUCUUCCUGGUGGCACCUCUGCAACAGGCAAUGAUUUUAUUUUGUAUUUAUUUUUUUUCAUUGAAUUCCCGUUGCUUACAGCACGCCUCCCCAUCAUUUUUGCUUUAGCGAUGACUAUUCAUGUGCUUGGGAAGUUGUCAAUGUACCUUCUUCCUCUGUAGGUUAUCCUCGCUAAUCCUAGUCUCUUGGUUGGGACAGUCAGUUGGUAGAGGGCAAGAAGCUUUGCUGAUUUUCUUUGGAUAAUUGGAAGUUUGGUACCAUUCAUUCUCAGAAGCUGGUUCAAUCAUCUUCCUGAAAUCUUCUGAUGUUUGAGUGGGUUACAACUGAUGUUGCAUACAAUUUCCUAGAAGCCACAAUUUCCGGAUAUUUUCAAUAUGGAUUGGCGUAUGUGGGUUGGAACAGCCUUUCGAAUCCAGUUACCUUUGUGGUAUCUGAUUCUUAUAUGUACAUGCUUUUAUGCAUAUUUAUAUCACAUUGGGUGGCUUUCAAACUCAAAAUUGCCCAAAAUUUGGUCAAAUUAGAUGCUACAUCAGCAAUGGUUGGCUACAUAGUCAACAUUAAUGUUGCUUCCUCACCUAGAGUAAGAUGACAACCCUGUCUGACCCUAUGCAAUGUGGCAUGGGUCGACUAGGUCGAGUAAUUCAUGUCCAUAUGUGGUAGAAAGGCGUUCCUAAUAACAUCAUCAAUAAAUUGGACGAAUCUUCCGCAUGAACUUUCUUUCUUUCUUUCGUUCCAGAAUUCCACUAAAUUUUUGUCCUCCAUUUGUUUGAAAUAUUGGGAAAGGGCUUUAUUUUGUCCUUGUGCUAGAAUGUGAUACUGCCAGAUCAACAGAUGGGUUCUCUUUGCUCAGGAAAGAAGACUUCCCGUCCUUUAGGAGCAUCCCUUACUAGCCAUGCCAACUCAGGCCUCCUUGGUCCUUCAGUGUAGGAAAACUCUAGACCAUAUCCUGACGGUACCUAACUCAUGUGAUUCAUUGCUUCUAUCCCACCACCUACUUCCUUUUUAUCUGUGUGGUCUCUGCCCAUUAUGCAGAAUUUGUGCGUGACAACUUCUCCCCGUUCGCCGUCAAUAAUUUUUUUAUCCCGAAGACCACUUCAUGCCAAAUGCUGCUGGUUAUUUUCAUCGCACUUCAAAUAGCUUGUCUCUACAGAAUGCUACACAAGUGCCUCCACCUGGACGAAAAUCUGAUGUUCAUCCACUUCAUUCGUGCAUUUAGGGAUUCUGCAUUUAUUGAGUGCCCAUUUAUCUCCUUUAGCACAAGAAUUCAAGAAAGAUGCGGUAAAACCUCUCAGCACUUAAAAAUGAUGGAGUGGUAUUUAGACCAGAAGACUCUCGGUCUUUGGCUCCUCAACUAGUAGUGGCUAUUAAAACAUUCCCUGGCAGAAGCAUAUAAUAGCCAUAUGGAGAAUUAAAAUUUGUUUGCUUCAGUUACUUAUUGCUCAUACCAGCGAAUGAAGUUUUACUAGGAGAGUCCUGUUUUUUCCUUGAUCCUCAAAGAUAAUAAAUGUUUUUGUAAACAAUCCAACGUAAGUGGCAGCGCCGGUGUAAACUUACUGAUAUUCUAUCAGAGUUUCUAUUCAUCAUUGGCUUUUGAUUGACGAGCGUGAAAAUGAUCCCCAAUGAUGUUUCCAAUUCGAUAAUGUUUGGCAAUGUUAAAUUGAAAAAAUGACAACAAUGUUUAAUAACCCCAGAUAUUUAAUUACCGUUCAAUGUUUUAGGGAUGAUAACGAAUAUUGAAGCAACUGACUUGUUGCACUAUAAUAUUGCUAUUUGCUCUCGUAACAUAAUGGCAGUAGAUUUGUAGCUUUUUUAGUGGACGUUAGGUUGAACCUGCAUGAUGUAUCAACUAACUCCCACGUUGAAAUGGGAAUGCGUCUCUUGUUUUAGUUGCUGGGUUGCUGUUCGUCUCUGUAUAAUAUAGAUUAUAUGUAUCUUUAUUUUUUUAUUUUUCAUCAUGCACUUCACAAGAGUAUUCUCAUGGAAGCAAGCUUGUUGCUGGUGCAUGAUGUUCACAUUUUUCAACAGGCGAAUCACCUUCUUCUUCAGCUUCAGAUGUCGAUAAUUUGAACAACCACGGUACUCUUGAUAAGGCAACAUUAACAAAGGGUCUACGGUCGCCGCAGAGCAUCAGUAACCAUGUUCUUACUACACGCAAUCGAUCAAAUUUUGUUCGGCUUCUAAAUUUUGUAAGUUUUUUGUUUUUCCUACAUCUUUUUCUGCCAGCCUGUGAUUGUUAGCUCUAGUUAAUGUCUCUUUUUGUUAGCUCAACAAGGGCCACACUACUUGGUUCAAGAAACUUCUUGCUAUUUUAGAGUCCUUGCAUCCUGUGGAAUAUAUCUUAAUAUCGAUUAAUGGACUACUGGUUGUAGAUUUUUAUGAUAUCUUCUUUCUCACCUUCGUUUUGUUCACAGGCACAAGAUGUUAAUUAUGCAAUGGAGGCCUCAAGGAAAUCUCACAACGCAUUUACACAUGCUAGUGCUAAUCCAGAAGAAUCUUACUAUGGGCCUGAUGGCAUCACUUCUGUGAAAAGAGUUCUUGAUUUCAGCUUCCAGGACGUUGAAGGGUUGCUGCAUCUUGUACGGCUGUCCAUGGAUGCUAUUAGCGAACCUUGCAAAUCUGGAGAGAAUGCAGUCCCUGUAAAUAGAUGAUGUUUGGCUGCUCUCUCCCAUCCGUGGAGUACAGAAUGAGGUAGUCCAGAGGAAUCUGAGCUGCCUCAGCUUCUUAUGCCGUGAUGCCGGUUCUCUUUCUUUUAGGAGGCUGAUCACCAUUUUUCCUGUAUAGUCUGUACAGGGUGAUUGGGUUGACAUUUUUUUUAUUCUUUUGGCCGCUGGCAGUUUUAGAUGUGCAUGAAUGCUCAGCAUUGAUGCAUCGAUGAGGGCUCAUUAUUGAUGCACAGAUCGAGCAAUCUUGACAGAUUCUGCGAGUAGUGAUUAGUUUAUCACUUGGAUUCCUGUUUGUCAUUUGUACAGAAAUGGGCGAAGCAUCUUUCAGAGUUGUGAGUUCUUUUGGCGGCCAUUGACCUUGCGGUGAGCUAUCUGAAGCUAAAGCUUAGAUUGCCUCCAUUUUCCUUUUCAUAUUUGCUUAAAACGUCUAGUGAAUAUCUCGUCUAGAUCGUCUGCGAUUUGACCCACAUCAUUUAAAUAUGUACUAAGAUUGAUUUACCUUCAUUUCAUUUGUGCUGUGCUGUAGGUUCUACGUGAUUCGAUCUCACAGAGGCCUGAAGAUGAGCCUUUUCACCAUGUGGUGACUUUUGACCUGAGAAGCUAAUCCAAAUGCAUGCGGGAUCUUUUAAACAAAGUUUAUCUUGUAGAUGAUGGCGGGGUUGAACGAGCUCCGAGCAUAAAGUGAAUGUCUGAAUUUUUUUUUUCAGCUUUCAUGGUGAAAUAAUCCAAUAAGGUUAGCUCGGUAAUAGAUCCUGUUUAUUCUUUUUACUGGAAUCUAAACGGUAAAAGCCCUGCCCUGGCUGGAUUCCUUUCCUCAUUUAACAUGGGAGCAAAAUUACUGUACAUCUCCUUGUUCCCUCAUAUAAAUUUAUACAAAAUCGGAUUUAUUUUGAGAAUUCUGCUGUGACUGAACCUCUUCCCCUCGGUUUUCCUCGUUGGAGGGAAAUCUGUCGGAUGAAAGCUGGUGUUUGUGGAUGAACUUGAUAUUGGUUUCUUGGAGUUCUAACACUCACACUUAUCUGUGGGCAAGUCUGUGCUUCUCUUUGGAUCUAGUUCUUUUUACUCGGCAUGGGCAACCAAUAUAGAACCAGUUAUCUAAUUCCCAUGGUGUUCAUGAAUUUGAAGGCUCUGGUUCUGCCCAGGACAGCAGAGAAAUUUUUCUAGAAGUGGGUGAGCAUUUUCCAUUUCUAAGCGAGGGUAUCUCUCUUAUUGCAUGCCAUUGACUGAUCUGAUCUGUUCUUGCUGGUGGCUGACUUGGUGAGCUACAGAAACAGGGGAGGGGUUAAGAACUUUCAUUUUUUUUCUUGGCAUUGUUCGCAAGGUUUGGUCCCAGGGCUGGGAUGAUGAAGAAAGGCCUGGAAGAUGGGAGCCACCUGCUUGGACUCAUGAAGUCCAUUCUUGGGCCAGGCUUGCCUUCCAUUUGAGCCAAGAGAGAGGGAGAUAGAUCAGAAAAUGAUGCCUCUGAUUACAUCUUACCCAGGUCAUACAUGAAAGUUAGCUUUAGAAGAUUCAAAGAGCAUCAGUAGGCUGACCUGCAGAAGGAAGAGUGACUUGUUCAAGUGAAGAUGGAGGCCUUCUGGAGAUAAUUAAAACGAUUGGAAGAGCCAUCUGACAACAUAUUUAUACGGCCUUUGCCACCCUGUAACAUCUAAUCACAACAUGAUCUCCUGGUGGUUCCCUGGCGGAGAUGGCAUCAGUUGAAGGGCCCGUUGAUAAUCAGUGUGCAUUAAGCCACAUUAUGGCGUGUAUGAGAGGAAAAUGUUCUCACUUAUCAAUGUGCAUGUACCCAAAUCGGCAAGACAAGAAUAAUCAGAAGAAAAAACAGAUUUAUUUAUAUGUUUUGAUAAUAUACGAACCAGCUCGUAUAUGGGAUAUGGUUCUGGACUUGUUGGGUUUGAUUAAGUGCUUAUGAAAAAUUUUGAAACAAAUAUAGUGCAACUUGCUGGUAUGGGUACUAUGAAUUUUGUGUUGAUUGCAUUUGGAAUCAUGGACGUAGGUUCAAAACCUUGUUAAUUAAAAUUAGGUUUCAUAACUAAUCAAAUAAAAUCAAACAAUCUCCCUGUGAUAGAUAUCAAUUAGAUUCAAUCUAAAACAAAAACUAGAGUCUGCCCAUGAUCAAAGUCCAAAAUUUUAAGCUUUAAUAUACUGAUGAGCAGUUCUCUUUACUUGAGUACUAAGGACGUUCUGAACAUUUUUGAUAACUGAGUAUUGUCUUAUACUUGUACUCAAUAAAGGCAGUUUUGAUGCUGAAAAUGAAGGCUUUUCCAGGGCAUACAUAAAUCGUCUGUAAAUCCUUUACAAUUGAAAUCAACGUCAUAUAAAAUUAGAAGCUCUAGAUUGUUUAGAAACUGGCUAGGUGAUGUUUUUUGAUGAAAGGAGACGGCAACUAUAAUAUUAUUUUUCCAAUGCAUACGUAAAAUCAUUUGUAGAUCCUUCUUAAUUGAAAUCAAUAUCAUAUAAAGUAGAAGUGAUAUGUUGUUUAGAGAUUGGCUAGGUGCUGUUUUUUUAUGAAAGGAGAAGACAAUUCUUCUUGUACUAUUUUCUAUUGCAUACAUAAAAUCAUCUAUAAAUCCUUCAUUAUUAGAAUCUACAUCAUAUACUAGCAAAAGCUAUAUAUUUUUUAGAGAGGUACUGUUGUUCUAUGAAAGGAGAAUCUCCAUGGGGUACUUAAAUCAUCUUUAAAUCUUUAUAGUUGACAUCAUAUAUUAAUGGAAAUUAUAGAUUCUUUAUCAUUUGUCUAGGUGUUGUUUCUUUGAUAAAAGCAAAUUGAUGACACUAAUUUUCAUUGGCCUGAGAAAAAUAACUUUUUCCCAUAUACAGAAGCAGAAUUUUGCCAUUGAUAACACCAACCCAGCAUCCCAUUCAAGGAUUGAAAAUACAUAAAUACAUGGAGAGAUGAAUGUUGUCGUAGUCGCUUCUAAUAAUUCGAGUUUUAACUGAUAUUUUCUUUCAAAAAUUUAUUGGGCCUAUAGAUAAAAACGGAUUAUUUUUUUUUAGAUGGAUGGACUUUUGUCUAGAAUAAUUCUAUUAAAUCAUAUAUGAGUGAGUCAAUAUGUUUAUCAUUUAUUUAUAUAACAUUUAUCAAACUAGCCAUAUUUUCAAUUGAUGUAGAACGAUCUUUGACAUCUAAAGAUAAAAGCUGGAUAUUUGCAAAUAAAAAAAGUAAAGUUCAUGGUUGUAUUUUUUUAUCAAAUUUGGUCUAAAUAAAUGAUAAUCGAAAUAUAAGAUGAAAAACAUUAACUAAAACACAAAGUCUUUAUGAUUAUUUAAUAAAUUUAAUAUAUAUAUAUGGCACUUGGUAGAGAAAUUACAUGUAGAGUAUUGUAUUAGUCAAUUGAAUAAGUACAUUGAACCAUUAAGGAUGCUUGAAAAAGUAUGAGUAUUUGGCUACUAGUAUCUCUUUGCUUUAAGAAAAGGAUUUUACUAGCAUUAAAAGUGUAAUGUCUUACAUUAUCACAAUAGAAGGGUAGUUUGGGUAUUUUGGAAAUUAUUUCUAGGGUUUGUCAAUAUUCAAGGGACUUGAUAUGUGAGAAGAGAUUUGAGGUGUCUUUUCAGAUAGAGGAUCCAUCUCUCCAUUUUCUUGUGUUUUUUUCUAUAUGGUAUCAGAGCCCAUGUAAACAUUUGCAUAAUUGACACCACCAUCAAUUUACUAUCAUACUUUUCUUGUGUAUGUUUUCUAAAUAAGAUAUUUAUAAAGUGGAGGUUAGUAUUUGUUAUCCAUCUUUAAGCUUUUAAGUUCAUGAAAAGGGAAGUGGGAUGCUAAACUUGUAAGAUCAUUUCAUUGUCUACUCCUCUAUUUAAGUAUUUUUUGUCUUUUUAUGGAACUAGAGCCAUUAAUCUAGAGUAGAUCAUUUGGGCGCUAAUCUUAUUGGCUCAUUAGAAUCGUGAAUCCUGGUCAAUUAGUAUUGUAAAAGCUAGUAUGAGGGUAUGUAACAAAAAGAUUUCAUAUAACUUAAUGGUAUGCUCCUUUUAGAUAUAGCAUAAAUCAUAUAGGCUGAACCACCACAAUUAUUCAUUUUGCACAUUAAUAGGAAAUCACAAUUUAGAAAGUGAUUAGAAAAAAACCAAUUCAUCCUUUGUUCCCCACCUUUUUAUUCCUUAUAUAACCUCCUUCAAAUCAACAUGUUGAGCCAAGUAUUCUUCGUAUACAUAUUUUAGUUUCAUAGCUCUAGGGAUGAAAUCAGAUUAAUUCCCAACUAAUCUCCUUUAGAUUAAUGGCCAUAAGUUGACCAAUGUGCAAAAGUACACAAAUACUGGAAAUUCAAGAAUAAUGCUCUUAUAAUGUGCAUUGCUUCCUUUGGCAUGAAUAUAUGGGCUUAGCGGUGAACGAGAUUACUAGACAAGGAGUUGCUUAAAUGUUUCAACAACAUGUGAAAGUGUGAUUUCCAAAUGGAUUUCUCUUAGGUGCUGGAGAUUUAACCCUUAUACAGGAUAAGUUUCUUGUCAAAAUUUUGGACUUUUAGUGGUUAAAAAUGAUAAAAAAUGGUAAGACCAAUGGGACAUCUCCCAAUUCCAACAUCUAAUUGCUGUAGUAUAGUAGUUUGGCUUGGUUAGGUUUUUCUAUGUAGAGCCACACGCCCAGCAGCCGUCUUAUGAAUCCGGUCAUCUCACUACUUUCAAGUGUAAAAUGUAAAUCAUACAAAUAAUAAUAAGCACUGAAAAUUUAAAUGACUUUUCUAAAUGUUAGCAUAUAAUAUCGAGAAUAUACAUUACGGUUAAUUUUGAUGUACAGAUACUUUCAUAGUAUAAAGCUAUCAUUUUAACCUCUAAUACACUUUACUGUUAAUGUUGCUGAGGCUACUUCUCAAUAAUCAAGUUUACCCACUUUGAGUGACAAUGAUAGGAACCAAGAUUGAAUAUUAAAAGAUGUGUUGCGGGGAAUGCUCUAGUGUGGACAGCUAAAGAGAAUCCAAAUCUUUUCUCAGAUAUCUAACCUUAAUUGGUGCUGCUAUAUCAGUCAACAGGCACCGAGGUGACCAAAUAUAGGCUGCAUGGACCCUACCCAGUCAAAGAGAUGACUUCACCUAAAGCUCAUACGUAAUUGUUUUAUGAAGAGAAUGCAAUUAAUGGGGUGGGGGAGAAAUAUAAAUGUCUAAUCAAAGGGAGCAUAUCAGCGUGCAUCCCUAUGACAGACAGAUUCAACUCAUAUUUCAACACAGAACCAUAGAAAAGUAAGUUAUAUAUACUGAGAAUUCAUACUCCCUUUGAAUUCAUGGGGGGGGUAAGUCAUAUAUAUAUAAAUAUAUAUAUAUAUAUAUAUAUAUAUAUAUAUAUAUCUACACCAUUGUAGAGAGUAUAGGGCUUUGCCUCAUUCAGGACAACAAUCAUGUUCAGUACUGAGAUACAUGAACCUUGACAUUACCAAGGCCAUCAGAGUCUAGAGAGGAUCCAACCUCAGGGUGAGAAUUCAGGUGGGAGAAUCCGAGUUUACACCCACUCACAGAGGGUAUGAAACAUAUUUAUUAUUCAAUUCAUCAAAUCGGGUGUGCCAACAUGAGAAUAUAUAUUCACAAUAUAGCGCAGAUGGCCUCCGGGAGGGAGAGCUGCAUGGCCUGGUGUUUCAGGGGAGAAUUUACAAAAGGAGAGCACUAGAACAAGAACCUGGCAGCGGGUCUCGUGCGCAAUUACCUUCUGUGGCGGCGGGCAGAGGAAUCAGGCCAGGUAUCUAAAUGUGUUGGGGUUGUCCUUGUCCCUCUCCAGAUAGUCUCUGGUGAUCAGGUCCUCAAUGCGCUUCUUGAUGGCCUUAAAGUCGGGCUGCAUGAUUGGACACCGUUGAAAGAAAGCAGUGAGGGUAAAUAAGAUUGCUAUUUCAUGAACUGGGAAGAAAUGGAUAAAUAUAUUAUGUGGGCAAGAAACGUUGGCAAGGAAGUCUUCUUUAAUUCAUCUCCAAGCAAAUCACCCCAAAAAAAAAAGAAAAAGAGGCUGGCAGUAGAAGCUACAGACGUCCCUAAAACUCAAAUUAGAGUCUUAGGGAAGAAAAGCUAUCAAGUACAAAAAGAAUACGCAGUGUUGUUUUAAACCAUGGUAAUGAGCCAAGAAAGAUGGGGGGAGAAAUAAGGAGAAGACUCUCAGGGCCUCUGUCCCUGAUUUGGUACAACCUAAACCAAUCUACUUGCCUAGCCAGAACCACACAUAAAAAGGAUGCCCUUCACCGGAUACAAAAAUGGAUGCCGGAGGAAUGCAUGUGAUUAUUACCUUGAACAUGCGGCCAAGCUGCUCAACACAUUCGGUCACUAACUGAUGGUGGCCCAAGACUUUACGGCUUUUCAUGAUUCUCACGAUGGAGGCAUCGAUGGCAUACCGCCUGUCCUUGUCAACGUCUUCAAUAACCUUCUUCUUUUCAUCCACGGGGGGCGGAGGAAUCUGCAGGGGACGCUUCAACUCCAAUCAAAAUAGCCCAUAUGAGAACCCACGAAGGAAGAGGAGAAGCAGCAGGGAGUAGGCAAGUUCCCACCUUAACCCUCUUCAUUUUGUCUGUGAACUCCGAAUUAAACUCGAACGUGUCAGUCGGGCUGAUUGUUUUGUUGUUCGGUUCUUUAUUGAGAAUCUUGUAUUUGGAGCAGGAAAGAGAAUGGAGCAGUCGGACUACAUCUUCAUCAGUCAGGUUUAAUUGACUCAUAAUCUCAGAGUAACUCAACCUAUCUGAUGCAUUAAAAAGCAACAGGGCGGAGGCCUGGACACAGAGAAAAGUCUUAGAACCAUCAGAGCAUAGCAUCCCUGAUAAUCUUCACCCAGAAACCUUGACAGCAACUCCCGAGAAGUAGAGCAAAGGUAACAAAAACUACCUGAUAUGUCGUGGCGAUCAACUCGAUGGUCUUGGGUUCAAAUUUGCCAUUGAUAUUGCAAGUACCCAGGGAGUAUAUCCAUGUCAAUUUUCUAUGUUUCGUUUUUGUCUGAUAGAACUCCUUGAAGACCUCAACACAAUUCACCUGAAAAAAAUUUUCCCGUGAACUUCAAAAGCAUGAGAAAAAUACAAAAUAAAUGCAUAUAUCAUUAACUAUAAGGAUAAAUCAACUAGAAAAAGAGUUUUCACCAUCUCGGCAGGGAGAUUAAGAUCAAAGGACUUAUAGCUUGGCCAGAAUCCAGUGGUCAGCACAUUGACGGCUAAAUCAAUUCCAGGAUUUACUUGUGGAUUACUGCUAAGGUAUUCCUCGAAUUGUGCCUGAUUUUCCCUUGCCAAAGUCAAAUCAGUCACCUAUGAACAUAAGAAAAAUAUCAAAUCAGAAGAUGCAUAAGCGUCCAUGACCAUCAGGAAAAUAUCACCAGAUCCAAGUCAGCCAAGGCUUGUAUGAAAAUACCAUGCCCUCCAUCUUGGAGGUGAAUUGCCCACCACACUGUUGCUUGAGCUUCAUCAAAAUACAUCUCUCGUGGUCAUCACUGGCACUCUUCUCAAAAAGAAGCCUCCGAGCAAGCUUUUUUCUAAAGAACCAUCACACGAUAGAUUUAUCACGUAUAAAGAGAAACCAGAAAUUAAAACUGUUCCUCAUGACAAAAAGAUAUUCACCUGUAGAAUUCAGCGAAAAGAUCUUUGUCACUGAUAUAUGCUAACAACUUUACUACCUGUAUAUGAAAAGAAAAGGAGAAGGUUUGGUCAAAUACCAAACUCGUUGGGCUUGGGGACACUACUUCGCUAUAGCACAAACGAUCAAUCUUGUUUAUAUUUAAUAUGUCUGAUUUCAUACCUUUCUUCAUUUCAUCCAUUACAGUACUCAAUUAGUAUGCUCAUUAUAGUGUACUCAAAGUACUAAAGCCACAGAAAUUAUGGGAAUAUGAGCAAUGUGCUCAUGUUCUUCUUCUUUGCUAGUACUGAUGCCAUCUCAUACAUAUCCUGUGAUCCCCAAUCUAGAUAUUAGGUAUACAAUCUCUUCUUCUCCCACACAUCCACUAAGGAAACUAUUAUUUACCCUGAUUAUCUAUGGCAAGAUGAGAACUUGAAAAAAUAGGUAAAUACCUAAGAAAAGGGCCAUAAGAAACCUACAACUUGAAAGAAUGAACAAAAUACGAUGAACACAAGAAACCUUUUCAAGUGUUUCCUCAAUUGCUUCGUCGCUCAUUUUCUCCUUUACACGCUUUUUAAGAAUACUAUCACAAAAAGUCGCCAGGAGCUCAGCACUUGAGCUACCAGACACUCCCUUGUUGCAGGAGACUUCAAAAGCCUCUUUGAGUGCCUUCAAAGGUAACGAAGACCAUAUUAAAAAAAAUAUAAUAAUAACUUCAAAGUAAGGGAUUAAAACAGCUCAGCACUAACCUUGUGGAAGAGAGAGUGAUUUUGAAAGCAGUCAUUAACAUACGCUAAGUACUUAUCGUGAAGCUCAAUCACUUUUCUGACAAAAACCUGAAUCAGGAACAAUUAAUCAAUGAAAAGGACCAUCAAAGCAUAUGUAAAUCUAAACUCCACGACUUACCUGCUCAUACAAGCCUACAGCAUCCCUUUUCUCCACCUAUGAAUAAGACAAGGUUAUAGCUCAAUACAGAUACAUGGCACAAAGCUGCUUUAAAGAUGCAUAUGAACGUACAGACAAGAGUUCUGAGAAGAUGUUAGACCACUGGGCCUAAGGGUUGCUACAGAAGACUACAAAACAAGAACACAAUGCACAAGCAGUCGCAAUAAGUACACUGUCAAUCACAAUAAAUGACUAUGGUGCCGCAGUCUUUUACGUAGUUGCCAAGCAGCACCAAUUAACCAUCAUCAAUACGAAACAUGAUGAUGGCUAUCCCUUUCCCCACAUUCUUAAAGGUUAAAACAUAGUAGCAUAAAUUUGGAGAUAAGACAUGAAGAAAAUGACUUAGUUCAAAACAGUUCCGAUUCUUUAGUAUCUACCCAAGUUCAAAUUAUUCAACGGGCAUUAAGUGGGUGGGGAUUUACAGCGGUCACUUUCUUGAUCUGAACAAAAGGAGCCAGAAUAACUGCUCAGGGGAUCCCCUUUAAACUUAUUACCAAUAUAUGUAAAGAGGAACCAUAAAUUACUGAACCUCAAGAUACCACGUAACAACUAAUCAAAAACCACUGUCCAAUCUAAUCCACUCGUUUUCCGUUACACAAUUCCCCUCACAGGACCAGCUCAUCGUAUCUGCCGGGGCACCUCAAGUUUUGGAAAGGCCCCAUUAAAAUCAAAGUUUGGAGCAUAGUGGCCCUUUCCAACAUGAACUAAAUCCUUCAUUUUCCAGUAAAGAUAUAGUUCCAGUAAAGAAAUAAGUAAUGCUCCACAGCUUUUGGUACCACAACUUGCAAAAAAGCAAUGUAUGACCUGCUUUGGUGAGGCAAAAUUUAUCAUAAGUUAAAGGUUAGUCAAGAGCAUUAUUUUGAAAUAACCUUCCAAGGCAUUCACAUUUUAUAAAUAAUACUAUACCUGAUCUCCGUUUAGGAAUUUUAUCAAGAGAACCCCCCUAAGCAGGCUAUCCCAAUUCAGCUUGAAAGAGAGAUCGUCUAAAGAAAAAAAUGCCCUUUAUUAUCAUUCAAAAGACGAUUGCAUAAAUACUAAUCAUGAAUAGAGCCAUCAUUUAACACAAUCUAUGCAUGCUAUGAAAUGAAAAAAGAAAUAAUACUCAGGUAAUAGACGACUUUUUGACGAGAAAUGUCAUCAUGGCAGCAAUGAAUGUAAUAUUCAAAUUCUCUGGUACAAUUGAAGCCUAAAUAUUAACUGGCACUGCAAUGAAAAAAGAUCAAUCUCAAACACUGCAGAAUCAUCUUUUUUUGCUGAUUGAUAAACUACAAAUGGGUUCCCAAAUGGAAUUCUUUUCUUGGGAGAGGUGCCUGUACUAAACCUAUGUUCAUCGGUUAUACUUUAAUCGAAACUUUAUACCCAACUAAAAAUUUUAGAAACCAGGCACUUUUUGCAGCGGUUUUAUGAUUGUUAGAACUAAAUAGUCUGGGUUAUUCAUAUUUGUCCAUGAUAACCCAGCCAUCUGAGUUUGAGAAACUCGGAUGGCUGUGCAAGUCAUGUGAGGCCUGAUUGGGGAUAUACUAAGAUAAAGUCUUCUAACAUAUUUGGCCACAAGGUCGAAUGGUAGGUCCCCAUCCCGACUUCGAAAAUAAAAGUCGUAUAAAAUAUCGAAGGGUAUCAUUAGUAUCAAAGUCGUAUAAAAUAGAAUCCAGAACCAAAGCUAGAUUAACCAAGUAAACCCCCAAACUGGCUAUCAAACCACCAUUGGAUGUACAGACCAAGUCACUAAUAAUUCCCGCAUCCUAAGUAGUAAUUUACUUGGAAAUGAUAUGCACAUACUUUGUUACUUGCUGAAUCUUCUGCAUGUUUGACCAAUGCCAUACCUUCACGAGUGACAUGCUGCAUCGUUAACCAUCAAAAAAAUGAAAUCACAACAUUAUUGAUUGAAUACGUUUACGAGAUUCAAGUGCCACUAAAACACUGCUAGGAAUAGAGCAGCUUCAUACUUGUUUAAAAAUUUGAGAAACAGGGUCCAAGCCACGAGGUAUUCGGCAAAAUAACCUGAACAUCCGAGAAAGAUCAUCCACCUGAAAAAACACGUCAAGAAAAAGGAAUUACCGGCAUGGGACAUGGAUAUCUUUUCAGAUACAAUGAUCUAGAAACAUGAUGAACAUCAAUUGGGUACACUUAACAGUACCUUAUCAUCUCUCAGCAAAGCAUGGCAUCCCGAAUUUUCCUUUUCAAGCAGCUGGCUAGCAUUCACAAAAAGUAGUUCGUGCUGUACUCUCUGAAAAGAUAACAAAAUCCAAAGAGCAUUAUUGCAUAGGAAGCUCCAAGGCCAGUAUAAAUUAAGAAUUAAGAGGAACGCUUGAACCUCAGAUACUAAAGAGAAAAGGAGAAAAUAAAACAGUUCAAAAAAAAAAAGGGGGGGCACGAAAAGGACCUCCAACAGCUUCUGCUCGCUACUAGAGUGCAGGUAAUGAGAAACCCUAUCUUUCUCCCUUUUCAAGCAUUCCUCGGCCUGAUGUAGAUAUACAACCAACAUAUGAGAGUGCACGAAACAAUAUAUACAACCAAAAGAAAAAUGAAAGGAGUAUACCUUUAGCAUGUACUCUGGACAGGAAUCCUCUGUAAUCCAUCUUGUCGCUUUUCUUGAAUAAUAAGAAGCAGUAUCGUCAAGCAUUGCAGCUUCAAAGUCAUUUUCAUAACACUCCAUUUGUCCCAAUCCGAUUUCAACAAAUAUAUCCAGCACAUUCUUCAAUAAAGCACGAUCAAUUUGCUCACCCUCACGUUCUCGGUCAAUCUGAUUCAGAAAUCAGUGUAAAAACAAAUACAACCAGGUUGCUAAAACAUAGAAGAUUUUUCAAAGCAUACCAAUGAUAUUACAGCAUCUGUAGCUUUCCCCUUCAUUUCGUGGUAUAUCUGAAAGUGUUCAAGAACGUAUAAAUUUUACAAAGUAAGAGAAAAGGCUUAAACAAAGAACCAAGUGUGAGAAAAGCACAUCAUUUUUAAAAGAUGAAAAACAUUGACAUACCAAGUCACGGAAGCACGUGAGCCCAACUUCAUUGAGAGGCGGAAGUGAUCUUCGAACUAUAAAGUAGCGAUCUAGAUAAUAGAAGAACCGAGAAAGCCAUCUGACCAUGACUUUAUGAUUUUCCCACCUUUUCACAAGUUCUCUCAGCAUGAACUCAUCAUGCUUCUCUCUUAGUGAUGGCAUCACCUGAAGAGUCAGAGAGUCUUUUAAAGCUUUCUCAAGUAUGGUAACGGAUUGAGAAUUAAAGAAAAAAAAGCUACGAAUGAUACUAGAGAGCAAAAGACAGGCAGUAGUAGUUUCAGGAAGGUCACUGGGUAAAGUAUUCAUCCCAACAAAUUUUCACUAGUCUUUGACUUUCAUCUCUGAAUUUUAACAAUAUGCAAAACAAUCCAUAAUGCUUGGUAUCAUUUAGAAUAAAAAUGACAGACUUGUUUUCUUUCUGGUAUCCGAAAGCAGUAACCGAUCAUGUGAUUCUGACCAAACCCCAAUCACAGUGAUAUUUUUACGAGACAUUAUCAAAUACCCUGUCUCUAGGAAAGCCGCUGCUAACUCGAGUCAGGCUACCUGGAUAUGUUUCACGAAAUGAUAAUGCAAUAUUUUCAACCGAUUGUCUUAUAAUUCAAUAAAUUACCUGAUUAUUGUGAUCCAGAUAAAGAAGGAAUCAUACUCCCAAUAAAAAUAAAAAGGCCAAAGCCAACAAACGAAGAUCAAUUUAAGUCGCCUCAUGCACCAAAAGAGAGAAGCUAUCCUCAUCAUCACUGGAUAUAAACAACAAAACACAAUUUGAAAGAUUUCACAGAUGCAAAUGCAUCAGACCACGAUAAUUGAAGACCAAUCUGCAACUGCAGAAAAAGGUACAUGUAGUUCGAUGGAAGAGGAAUACAACGUCCAUGGUCCCUUCUUACCGUUGACGUGAUGUAUUCUUCAAAUGCCUCGCGGUACUUGUCAUAGAGCUGUUGUGAAUAGUCGUGAGGUGGUUUCUGAGUGCACAUGUUGUAUAUUGUCCUGAGGAAAAUGAAAAAUUAUAUCAGCCAAAGCACCAAAAAUAGACGCAAAAAAAAAACAAGGAAAGAAAAACCAGGGGAAAUGCCCCUACGUGUAGAGCAUAAUGCGGUCCUCUGGACCGAACUGGGUCUCGGGGCGCCCCUCUAAUAUGUUCUUCAACUUCGUGAUGCCUUUCUGCAUGAACGCCCAUCCCUGCUCCAAGUCUAUCGUCUUUCUCUCGUUCAGAGCCAUCCUUGCCCUUUAAGUCCUCUCAAACCCCCUAGAAAUUCCUUCAAAGCGUGAAAACAGAAACAACUUGGCAGAUCCUAAACCACACUCUGUUAACCCUAAUCGUCGCCAAAUUCUCUCUAUAAAAAAUCAGGUGCACCAGAAUAGGCAUCCCCAACAUGAAAACCAUUCUUUACGCCGGACUGAAAAGUGGAAACCGCACGAUUUUCCGCACAGAAGCUUCAACGCGCUGAACCCAGUAAAAACCAUAAAGCGCGGAAGAUGAAAAAAAUGGCCGGAGAUUUUUCAAGAUCAUAUUCAACAUUUGCACCGGAAUCUGAGAGAUGCCCGAAAAUCCGCCAGAUUAAAACGGGAAAAAUAAGUCGACCCGGAACGACCGCAAUCACAUUACGGCCCGAGCUCACGGCGUGGAAAGAAACGAAAAGAGACAGGAGAACACAAAGGGGGGGGGGUGCAAGGAAGAACAAUCCACGCCAAGAGGCAAGCAGAGAAGCGGGGAAAUUCUACGGCAACAGAGAAACGGAAGAGCCCCAAGAAAGAUGGAAGCCAAGGCUCGGUACCUGAUCAGAGCUCGCGAGCCCCCGUCUACAUGGAGAGCACCAAAGGAAAAGCAGAAGGGGGCCUCAACAUACCCUCAGCAGACGGGGAGCUGAGAAGGGAGACGACGCCAGCGGUUUCGAAAAUACCCCCAAUAUUUAAUUUAUUUAUAAAAUAACCAUCACAUACUAUAAUAAUAGUGGUUUUAUCCAUCAUGCUAAGUCAUUAUUAUGGUACUAAGUCAUUUUAUAAGUGAAUGUUUUUCAAAACAUAAGCAAUAUAAUGGGAACGUCAACAACCACCACAUUGCAAGAAUCAUCAACUUAGUGUAUUUUAAUUCUCACAAGAACUUUAUAAAUACAAUUUCUUUAAUGAAACGUCAUCAAUUCAUUAGGCCAUCAUCUUAAGAAGUAAAAUUCCUGUUCAAAAUUAUGCAAAAAGAGUCAAUACUUAGAACUAUCGAAAAGAGUCAGCCCAUGUUUGGUAGAUCUACAAAGUUGCAUGAUAUUAUUAAACUACAAUCUCAUAGAUGAUAUGUCACAUCCAAGUUGAAAGAAAAUUUGAAAAACAUACUUUCCUAGGAGUACAUUUAAAUCAAAUUCCUCUUGUUUGAUGAAGAAAAGAGUCCACCUACAAGUUAGCUAAGGUAAUUUAUGCAAUGAGAUAAAAAUCUCAAGCAUAGAAAGAUCUUUAAAUCUCAUUUCCCCUUAGUUAUUCCAUUGGCCUUCUGCGGGUUACUUGAGUGAUCUGUAGCUUAUGCUUCAUCACUAUCAAAAAAUUUAUGUAGAUUCUGGUAAGUGUUCUAAGGAUCAAGAAUUGACUUAUAAAGAUUCAAUCAUAAAUGUGCAUAAACCAAUUGAGGAUUAGCCAAGGGAUCACUAUAGAGUGAAAUCAAAUCGUAAUACAUUUUCUAGUCUCUGUUGAAACUCUCUUAUAUUAUAUACCUUUUAUAAUAUUUGAUUAUAUACACAUUGAUGAACUAUGCCCUACACUUUUAUCCAUUUUAAUAAUAUAAAAUUGAAGAAAUAAUGAGGAAUCGACUCAUAAUAAAUGAGUUGAUCUAGAUAUACUUUUUAUACCGCAUUAAAUGACUAAACAUGAGCUGAUACUAGGCAAAUAUCUAAAUGACACACUUCUCAAUGAAGAUAGCGAAUGGCACACUUGAUUCUUGACAUCUACUGAAUUCCAUUUUUUCUUAAGUUAUGUAAUCAUGUUUUUCCACCAUAAACUCCUUGUAAGAAAUAGACUCACUACUUUUGGGGUUUGACUUUCGUGGGUUCUCAUAGCAAUCCUAGGUAGCAUUUUCUGCUUUGUUAGGACCAAAUCUCUCAUUUAUAAAUAUGGGUUUUCAUGUAAAAUAUUAUAAAAAUAGCAUUAAGGGAAUUGUUUUUCUAUUUCAACUUUGAUGAAAAUGAUUGAGAAAUAAGGUCAACCAAAUCACUCAAUAUGAAGAUUGUGACAACAUGAAAAUAAAAAUAGCAAUAAGUUUAUAAUUAUUUUUGUUCAUUACCAUCAUAAUUUUUUUAUGGUUGUGAACCAUUCAUAUAUAAGAUAUUUGACUUCCUACACUAAGUUAUAUUAGAGCUUUAAUAGAUAUUGUGCUUCAAUACUAUGUUAUUUUAGAGUAUAAUUCUCAUGUUCUUAAAUUUAGAGUUAGAUAUAACACUAUUGCCAAAUCACUCUUGAAUUAAUUACUUGUAUUUCACAACAUAAUUUUCUGAAAUUAAGAUCUUAUGUUGCUUGCAUAUUAUUACGUUAUAAUAAAAAUCAUCAUGAAGUAACAUUUAAAGCUCUAUAACUUAUGAUGUUUUGCAACAUAACUCUUCAUAUAUUAACUAUUACUGCUAAUUUGAUUUGAUGUUUAAGAAUGUAACUCAUCAUUUCAUGCAAUGUUCUGGCCUAUUAUGUGCUAUACUAUUUUAUAACAUAAAAUAUACAAUAAAAUAUUCACUUCAACAUACUUUUUACUCAUUUUAGAUGCUAAAAAUGUUUCAAUGCAAUAUGCUAUUUUACAUCAUGAAAUAUUGCCAUUAACAUACUAUGUUCUUUCACAAUGCAAACAUUUCACAUACUAAAAGACUAUUCCCUUGUACUCUUUUAGAACAUAAAAUAAUUUUUUUCUCAUUGCACACUUUUUCAACUUUAAAACUUAUGUCACUUUCAGAAACUAAGAAAAUAAGUUAUGAGGAACUAUAUUGCAAACUAGUAAAGUAAAUCAAGCUUAUUUUAUUACUGAAUAACAAAAUCACAUUGUCAAAUAAUAUAGCUUAUCAAAUGUAAUAUAUCAACAUAUAAAGAACUACGUUUAGAACUAGAAAACUAUAGGAAAAUUAAUAUGUUAUCAUAAAAUGAGCUACUUUGCAAAACAACAAAAUUUAUCAAACUAAAUACUGAAGCAUAAUAUCUCAGUUCGUGAGGAUCACAUUGUAAGGCAUAAGUAAUAAAAUCAAGACUAAAAUGUAACUAACUAUGCAUAUGUAACUCAAUGUUUUACUAUGUAAGGAUGAUGCUGUUAAUUUCUUUUAUAUGAAAUACUAUAUCUUAGUACGUGGAAAUUACACAAUGAACUAAGCAUGUGAAGUUGGUUAUCUUACUACGUGGUGUUUUUCCGGCAACAUAAAAUAGCAUGAUAAUAUAUGUGCAUAUAAUUUUGAACCAUACAAUAAUCAUAUAUUAACACCAAAGAAUAUUAGCAAAAGAAUAUCAUGUUCUCACAUAGCCAAAAAACUGGCAAAAAUAGGACUAGAUUGUAGCAACAAAAACAAAAACAUUCUAUUUUAUGGGUGCAAGUUAUUUUUGGAAUGAUAAAGAAUGUUCACAAUUGGUUUUUGAAGAAUAAAUAAAUUAUGAUAAUAAGUCUAAAUAUUAGAGAAAAUAAAGGAGAAAAGGAAGAGUUGUUAAGUAAUAAAUAUGUAGACAUUAAUAUCAAAGCUUAUGAUAAAAAUCUGUUCACAAUUUCUGCACCUUGAUGAUGACAAGCAAAACUAUUGUUAGCUGAAUUUUUAUCAACAACCUUUCUAAGUGAUGAAUCAUUAAGAAUAACUUACAAUUCUAGGUCAACACAUCACACUUCAAAGGAGUUCGGGAACUAAUAGUGAAAGAUUUAAUUUGGUUCUUCAAUAAGUUUUUUUAGCCAUGGUAGUUCAAGUCUCUCUCUCUCUCUCUCUAUUAUGAAUUUGUUGCUACAUAUUUGAGUAUUUUGAGAGUUGUGAUCUAGCAUAGUGGGCUAUCAUUGAAUUGACAUCAUUCAACUGAAUAGAUGUGCAAAUCUAAAAGUGAACAAUGGAGGUGCUUGAUAAGUUAAAGCCACAAAUCAUUUAGAUAAGAGUUGAUGCAUAAGAUUAGCAUUUGUACCGCAUGUAAUGGUUGAGGAUUAAAAAAAUACUUCUAAAGAGUGGAGUAUCAUACAAGGGCCAUUGUAUGUAGUAGUUGAUAAUGAAUAACAUUAAAACUAUUGGAUCCUUUUGUUUUAAUGACAUUAAGGAUGGAGCAACAUUAUCAUUAUAUUGAUAUAUGGGAAUUUUAAAUUAAUUAAUGUGAGAUUUUAUAGAAAGGAACUUGGAGGAGUAUCUUAGUUUUUAUAAUAGCUAACUUAAUACAUCAUUAGUGCCAUCAAGUCAUUGAAGACCUAAAAUAAUGCAAUUAUUUUCUUCCCAUCAAAUGUAUAUGUAUCGCACAUCAUAGAGUAUAAUUAUUAUAAUUAAAUACAAUUAUCAUAACAUAAAAAUUAAUUUAUAUAUUUCUUCACUAAAUUAUAUAUAUUUUGUGGAGUGGAUUAUUAUUAUUAUUAUUAUUAUUAUUAUUCAGUUGAAGCUGAUUUUAGCGCAAGAAAACCAGAAAGUGGGCAAAAUUUAGGGCCAGCUUACAAGAUUAGGCUAUACUUUCGGCAUUCAUUUUAAUAUUUUUUGUUGAUUAAAAGGGGUGUUAAUGUGAAGCAGAUAUAUUAUUUGGAGCUCUGACUGAUGUGACAAGAUUGUGCACCGAUUGUGCGCCGGGAUCCGAAUCAAUUUAGGUACGAAGAAGCAGGUCACCGAAACGUGGAUCCGCUACGUUACACUACGGGAGGUGGGGGCCCCCUCCCACUGUGGCAGCUCCCUCUCUCUCUCUCUCUCUCUCUCUUCCUUCACACCAAUAUAGCACCUGGAUUUCAGAUCCCUGUGUUCUUCUCCCCUGCUCUCCUCUUCUGGGCUCUCGCUCACUCUCGGCCUCCGCGAUGGCGGUGAGGGCGAGCUCUGGGCCCGGCUACCCAGAGAAGUUCACGGCGGCCGCGGCGUACGUGGGAUUUGGAGGAUCCCAGAGUUCAUCCUCCAUCGGAGCGAUCUCCAGAUUCCCCAAUGACGUUGCCCUGUUACUUUACGGCUUGUAUCAGCAGGUACACUGCCUACGGCUUCCUUUGGUUUUACAUUUCCUCAAUCUAGCUUCUUCUUGCGCUUUCGCCGCAUUUGCGGCUUCUUGGUUUUGACGUGGUCUCGGUGUAUUCGAACCGCACCGUCGGGAUCUGAUCUUCUGGGGAUCAUGGAACGGCUGGCGGUACAAAUUUUUAGUUGUCAAAAAUUUCGUGCCUCGUUCUUGCCUGACUUGCUGAAGCAGAUCUGCUUUGAGUCGUGAUUAGUUCAUUAAUUCGGCGAACUUUGGUUCCUUUCAUUGUUCCAUUUUUAUUCAAGCAGAGGAUUUUGUUUCUGAAAACCGUUACAACCUUUCCUUCGCGCGUAAAAAUGAUCAUCAUUGUUGAAAUUCUACAAGAUUACGAAAAUAAAGCUGUUAAGGAGCUUGACUAGCUUGAAAUGCUUUGCGUCUCUUCCUAAUUGUAGGCGACUGUUGGCCCUUGUAAUGUCCCGAAACCGCGAGCCUGGAACGCUGUGGAACAUGGAAAAUGGACCAGGUUCGUCUUCAAUUUCUCCUUCCGGAGAUGACGCUAAAGCAAUGUUGUCUAUAAGUUAAUAUUUUCAAUGAUUGAAAAUCUGUACCGUAAGAUACUAUACUAUCACCACGUUUGCUAGGCUUUUAGGGGCCAAUGCUUGAAAAUCGGAACAUUGGUUGUGGUAGUAUGUGCUUAAAAUGCAUGACCUAUUGACUUGUUUUGUUCCUUUAUCCUUGCUGUCAAAUACAACCAUAUCCCUAGUCAUCAUUUAUAAAUGAGUUAAUUCAUUCAUCCCAUUGAGUGUCACAUAGCCUUCCAUUUUGGUAUAAAUUCUAACUGAGAUGCUGCACAAUUGAAUAAGGAAAAUGUAAAAUCUUUUAUUGAAUGGAGUUUCUGCAUAAUUAUUAUGUCUCUUCGUAUGUAUGUGUAAAUGUUUUAGUCAUGCCUGGAUUCUAAGGGGCUCAUUAUCCCUUCAAAUCGGAACACAUUUCUAAACACGACUAGGGGUCUCUACAGUGAAGCAUUUUCACACAGAUAUCAGCUAUUGAUCGUCAGCAAGGAAAUCACCAACAAAUAUGUACUGGGAUAUAAGUUUUUUAUUUCAUUGUUCGUAGAUGAUACCGUAGUUUCUUUUGCUUUGCUUGAAUUGCACCUGCGCUCAUACUCCAAAGGUAUAACUGUCUGAAUUUUUAUGAUGGAGAAGCAGUCUGGUAUCUUUUGUGUUGGUAUUUUUGUUUGGAAAAUAUCUAAACUUCGAGUUGGGGAAUACCGCUGGACCAUUUGAGGAUGAAAGUGCAUGAAAUCAUCUUCCCACUCCUGAUAUUUUGAGCCAGUUCGAAUGAAAUGGAAAUCAUUUACUAUUACAUGAAAAUUGUUAACUUCAGUGAAUUCUUCAGUUUUUUUAGUCAAGUUUUAAGAAUGUCUGAGAAUCCCCUUUAGUGAGGGAGGUGGUGGUUCUUGUGCCUGUUAUUACUUUUAGUCAUCACCUUAAGGCAGGUUACUGUUCUUUUGCAGGGUCUUGAUGGCUGACUUUAUCAAUACUUGCACCCCCUUUUUCUUAUUUUUUGUACUCAUUGAACAUAUGGCACCGAUAACCAUGUUGAUUGUCACAGCUCUCCAACUUAGAAAAAGAAAGUGAGGUUUUUCUAUUUUUGGAUGUUUGCCUCUGAUGACCUCGUUGAAUACUAUUAUGCGACCAGUUGAUGACUUUAACUGCAAAGAUGAAAUACCAUACUCAUACUCUUGGUGAGGCGUGGUAUUAAUCCUAGUCUCGAGACUAAAACUUUUAGAUGAUUCAUCGUGUGCCUCUAAUACAUCUAAAGCUCGCAAAACCACCGCCGAAACUCCUCUACCUCCCCAGCUUUCAACCUUGUGAAAGAAAUGAAAGUGGUCGCCUGGGGCAGAUCAAUACCAUCUGGUUAAACAUGAAUGCAUAAAAUGUUUAAGAUGUUUUGCCAGGUCAGAAAUAUUUCCUACGCAUGAGUUCCUCGUUGAGACGUUUUAAAUGCAAGAGUUGAAGGCUGAUGGGACAUGAUUUCUUUCCCAAGGAAGGACUCUAAUGAAUCUGAAUUUCUCUACAGAAUGCCUAAAGGGUUUUCGACCCUCUGACAGGAGAAUUUAGCUCUACCCUAGAGAUUGAUACACAAUUGAAAGUGGCCCUAGAGCAUCUUUACCGUACGUUCUAGAUUGAUGAUCUGGUGAUCCUAUUUUACCAUCUAUUUGUACAUGACCUCUGCUAUAAUCUGGUACACCAGUGUGGGCAUCAACAAGGGCACACGUCGGCUAUGCUGCAAUCAUUUGGCAGAAUGAUUAUGCGGAUGAAGAAAAAGCUGUACACUGCAACCACACUGAAUGUACCUAUAACCACAAUGGCUCUAUAAAAGUUUAAAUGUAAUACCUCUUAAUAUUUUGUGGUUGAUGGCAUGUUGGCUGUACCCAUGGUCUGUAGACCAGUAAUUACUUUUUUUUCUUAGAAACUAUUAACUACUAGAGAAUUACUUUCCUGAUCUUAUUGUUGAAGGGUUUAUCACUACUUUGCCCCAUUUAUAGAGACGGACCAAGAUGGCUUUCUUCAACCCAGAAUUUUUUUUCCCACCUACUCUGUACCUGUGGAUUCAGACAAUCCUUUGUUGAUUCAGGAGAUGUUUAAAGUUUUUGUUCCUGAUGGAUUUAGAGGUCAACACCUAUAUAUUCAAGAGCCCACUUUUGAAUCCUUAUGGAUUCAAGGGUCACCUAAAUUAAUCAUUGUGGGCUCAAGGAUUGUAGAUCUCGUUCAUUGCAGAUUCAGGGUACAAGUUUUUUUCUUCUCUGAAUUCCACUGCAUCAAUUUUGGUAAAAGAAUUCAAAAUGGUAUUUUUUUUGCAAAAGAAGACUGCUGGUCGUGUAUUAUUAUAGGAUAAUUGAUGUGUCAUAGAAGGUUAUUUACUGUGUAGUCAAUUUUCGUUCCAAAAUAUUGAGAUAUCACUGAACUGCUGCAAAAUUAGCAUUUUGCAGAUUCUAUAGCUCCUGUCUCUAUUGGUUGAAGAUUCUUUCAUCAACCAUCUUCUUGGUUGUUCGAAGAGAAAGAGGUAACAGAAAAAUUCGAAGGAAUCAAAAAAUAUACAAGGCAUGAUGAGCAUGGCUGUAUUAUAUAUAUCCAGUAGGUGUCCAAUGUAUUGUAUUGUAUCAAAGCAUGCCUGCGGAAGUAUAUUGAAUAGGAAAACCAUGCUUUUCUACUAUCUUUUUGAGAUGAGAGAGGAAAUUGUGGUUAUUUCUAUAUUAAUGUGUUAUUUGUGUUUCUGUUUUCUCCUCUUCUCUUUGUUUCUUAUCCACACUUUAUUUUCUGUUUGCUGUUAGGAAUUGCUAUUUCCAUGAAUCACAUCUUGUAGAACUGUUGGCCAGUUUUCAUCUUGUUUCUUUUAGACUGUGUCUGGAAUGCUAUUUAUUUUCCUGGUCUUUUGCAAACUGUUUGAGUAAUGCAUACAUUUUCCUUUUAUUUAUCAAUUUAAGAAACUUUUACAAUUUUGUUGCUCUGAGUGAAGCUGUAGCUUGAAGUAUUUUUGUAAUACUUUGUAUAUCCAUAGUAUAGUUGUUGCUUAUAGAUGAUAUAUGUUUCUGUGCUAGUUGUAACAUAUACUUUUACAAGUUCAUUUAUGACAUUAGAUCUUGUACAUAAUUUGCUAGCCUUUAAAUAAAGUUCAUUACUACAGCUGGGAUGGGCUUGGAAACUUGGCUUCAACCGAGGCUAUGCGCCUUUUUGUGAAAAUUUUAGAGGUAAGGUUAAUAAAAGCUUGGGUUUACUUAAGAUAUUACUGGAAGCACCCUCCUCAUCACAUAAAUUGUGUCUAUAGGAAGAAGAUCCUGCAUGGUAUUCAAGGACGGCCGAAUUGGUGGAGGGUCCUAUUGUAGACGUGGAAAUGAAUGUGAGUUCCUCCAAUCUUAUGGUUAAUUGGUUUCAUUGGAGGAAUUAUUUCAGUGUGAUUCCGUUUUUGUCAGUUUUUUUUUACUAUUUCUGCCAUCCACUAUAACUUUUGAGAUAAAAUUUUCAUGGUGUUAGUAUGCUGACACUGAUUAUAGAAAUGUUGCAUAGUAAAACUAGCCUUUAUUUAUUCUUUUUGUAAUUUGUACUUCCAUAAGCAGCAGCUGGAGCAAGGUGCAAUGAUGGCUUCUCUAUAAUUUAUUUGUUCCUUCAUAUAUAGCUCAUCUAAGUAGAUAUAGUGAUUAAAUGUGAUGGAAUAAAAGAUUUAUAGUAACAUGAAAAAUCCAAUAAAAAAUCCAAUCAACGGAGGGUUUUUUGGAAUAGGGAUCCUUGAUGAUCAUUUAUUUCUGGGUGAUAAAACCUAUUGCUUAGAACCCUGGCGUUAUAAAGUUCACUGUUAGAAAGCUAAAAUUUUGAAGCGAAAAUGGAUUACUUUAUUUUAAUUAAUUGAUAAUAUGAAGGCUCUGGGAAAUUAUUGGCUAAACUUGGGGAAAUGUAUGGAGCUUAUUGAAACUGCAAUCGAUUGUGAACCUACAGCAUUGCAUGAGAUUGACUAUUUAGUUUUCUGCAUUGUAAAUUUGAAAGGUAUCAUCAUUAAUCUCAAAUUCAUGAAAUUCCGUCUCCUUAAAAAAUCAUGGUUACAUCUCCUUCUCUAGUAAAAAAGUCUGUUUGAUUGUAUAGUCCUUGGCAAUGCUGGUCGUUUCAACUAUGAAGUGAAAUAUCUUAAUAGAUGGUAUGAGGGCGAGGUGGGAGUGGCUUUUCUUCUUUCAAUAAUACAUCUGAAAUGAUCGAAUGCAUACAUUUUUUUUUCCUUUUUCUCUAAUUUUCUUUCCUCACAGAAGCCAAAUCUGGACUCCGCCUCCCCAGAUAGAAGCUCUCAUCAAGAACCAGUAUCUAUAAUUGGAGAAAAUGGAAAUAUGUUGGAAACUCAAGAUAAAGAUGUCAUAACAGAGGGGCUAGCUGCAGUUAGCAUUUAUGAUCAGUGGAUUGGACCUUCUGUAUCUGGACAAUACCCAAAGCCAAGAUAUAAGGUAUUUACCAAGUUGUCUUUCUUGUUAUGCCAGAAUUUUAUCCUUCUUGUUAGUUUCUGACCCUAAGUGUUUCAAUCUUAACAGCAUGGAGCAGCGAUAGUGCAGGAUAAAAUGUAUGUUUUCGGAGGAAACCACAAUGGGCGUUACCUUAAUGAUCUUCAGGUGUGUCAUGCUGGUUGUCUAUAUCUUUGCUAAACUUUUUAGGAUAAAUGAAGAGCUAUAGUUAGAUCAGGUUGCUGGAAAUCGGACACUUGCCUGACAUUGUUUUUUUUGAUUUACUGAAGGUUCUGGACUUAAAAAGUUUGACGUGGACAAAAGUAGAAGCUAAAUCAGCUAUGGAACAAUCGAGUUUGUCUAACACAGCAGUUCCAGUUUCAUGUGCCGGUCAUUCCCUGGUAAGCAUAAAGGCUUUUCUUGACCACUUAGAUAUUCUUGAAAUCAAGCUGGGUUUACGGUACCAAUACUGGUGCUUAUAUGAUGGAGUUGAUAACUUUAUCUUUCUUUUUUAGGUGUCAUGGGAAAAUAAGAUUCUCUUGGUGGCAGGCCACUUGAAAAGUCCUUCAGAAUACGUUACAGGUGGGAAUAAUUAUAGGCAUAUAUUUUCCUUUAUGCUCCCGUGAAGUUUGUACAGAUUUAUCAAUAAGAAAAAUAAUCCUCUUCGUCUUGGUGCUUAUUUCUAAUGAUAGUGAGGGAGUUUGAUCCACAGACCCUCCAAUGGUCAACAUUGAAUACUCAGGGGAAGGCACCGGUACUUCCAUGAUCUUCUUCCUCUUCAUUAUGUAACUGAGAUUGGAUCUUAGAUAAUGGUUGCAUACUUAAUCUUUUGUUCACAACUGUUUUAUUUCUCUGGUAUUUUAGUUCAGGAGAAUGUGCAAAACGAAUGUUCUAUUGUGGCAUUUAUGUUUUGAAAUUUACAUCUAUGAACUUUUUACAAUGCUAAAUGUGCAUAUUUUGGAUGAACCCUGUGGGCAUGAAACUAGAGGAAUUUCUCAUGGUUGAUGGGCAUCGAGUCUACUCUAAGUUUAGUUGUGGGUAUCAUAGCAAAGAAAUAUUUUCACGGGUAAUUAUCAAAUAACGGAGAUGUGCGUGAUUUUCAUAGAUAUAAGUACCUUUUUAUUUGACUACCUUUGAGAACUUGAUGGACGGCCAUGUGGUGUGUUCUAUUUCACACCUUCUGCCUUCAAAAUCAUGGAUUGUUGAUGUGCUUGUAAGUCCUAUUAAUUUUGGUGCUUUACCUUUUUGAUGUGGUAUUUCUGAACUUUUUUGAGGAAUAAAAUGUUUUACUUGACAAUAACUUCUCCGACACAUGGUAGAAUUAGUGUAUUCCUUGAUGGCUGUCCUGUGAUGGAAAAUAGAAUUGAUGAAGUAUUGCUUUGUCAUUUAGAUGUAUAGUUUGCUAAUACUGCUUCAUAUAUCACUUGAGAGAGCACAGUUAUAUGGUUUGCAAUUUUGAUAUUUUUAAGGUACCAAAUCAUCUAAGAGGUUUCGGUACAUAAAGAUCAGUUCGUUUGAAAUAUUCCACAUGCUUAGCACAUCAAUUUUGUUCCAUAAGCUACAGUAUGCGUUUUAUUUUUCACAUAUUUAGCAGAACAAUUUAGUCGCUCUAAAUGCUAGUGCUUCUUGUACCAAAUUAUUUACUUCAUUUUUUGAACCUUAUUGCAGGUUUCUCGAGGAGGCCAGUCUGUAACUCUUGUAGGGAAGAGUUUGGUCUUGUUUGGGGGUGAAGACGAGAACAGAUCUCUACUCAAUGAUUUACAUGUCCUUGAUCUCGAAACCAUGACAUGGAAUGAAGUGGAUUUAGUGUAAGAAACACUUUUGGUUCCUUAUCUCAUAGUUUAAAGCUCCUCGGUUUUAUUCUCGUUAUAGAUAUUGAGAAUGAUGAAUGUCUUUCCUUUGCUUCUUUUAAUGCAUUUUCGAAGCAAUAUAGUGCGAGGACCGCUUCUUUUCUUUUUCUGCUUAAGGAUGUAUUACAUGCAAUUCGUUACAAUAUUUUUUCCUUCAUUAGAAGGCUUCAUCAAUGAUGGUUUCUGAUUUUGAGAUUAGUUUGCUGCCAUCAACUAAUUACCUUCAAACUGUGGAUAAACUAGCAUGAAUAGUGAUAUACUGAGUUACGUUGAAAAGUAAAUUUAUCAUUAAAAUUGAAGGGUCUUGCAAGAUCCUUGCUAGAGGACCAACUUUUAGGAAGCGAAGGAUCUUUUGUUACCACCUAGGAGAUGGGAACUUUUUGUAAACUCUUCAAGAAGUUGUUAUCUAAUGGUCAUGGACUAGGGUGAUAUCAGGGUGGAAGGUCACCCAGGAGAGUUACAAUUCCAGUACCCUCACCUCCGGCCUAUAUUUACAUGGGCCAUUGAUAUUUUCAUAAGUCAAGUCUAGAAAGUCUGCAGAUUAUCCUUAAUGAGAGGGUUCUUCAUGUUUUCUGCCCCUUGCUUUUCCCUCAUUCUUUCUUUACCUAUCGCAAGACAACCUAUCAAACUCUCUACAAGUAAUGGCCAUAGCGGUUGAAAAUUCCACAUUAACGCUGAUGUAGAGACUCUCUACCCACUUUUGUUUUUUCCUCAAUUGAAAAAACUCGUGAGAAGGAUCUUGAGAGUUCCCUUUAGACAUUAAACCUCAUGGUUCAUUGAGCUUACAAACUUAAACACUGGCAGCCACGCCAUCCAGGCUGAUAUAUCGUUCUUAGUAUCAAUAAAUUACCAUAUGACGUGAACAACAUCAAAGCAUGAGUUCUGUCCUUCAUUUCUCUUAUCUGGUCAAAUAUUUCAAAACUAAAUGAAAUACGAAUUCAGGCUUUGCAAACUAUCCUUAGUCGAGUAAGUAGAAAACUCAAGAACUGAAGCAAUACGAGGUCGUGAUCUGAAGCCUGAUGUACUGAAUUUGUGGGAUGUGUGACAGAUUAUCUGGAAAUAAUUACCUAGUUUGGAAGGAACAUUGGCCGCCAUUGUAUAACCACUAAUCAACAUAUGCUGCUUCUUGGGUCAAAAUGCAAACCUAUAAUAGGAAUAAUGGCUUUUGCCAGUUUAUAAUGAUUUUCUGUUAUAUUGGAUGACACUACUUGCAAUCUCUGGGCAGUUUUGGAUCUGGAAAUUGCAUGAUUUUAAAGAGGAAUGAAAGCUAUCUGAAGAGAUUUGGUGCUUUAUUGGCCUUCAUCUACAUGCAUGGGCAGAGUUUUCGGCUGGAUAUUCGCAACUCCCUUUUUAUUCACCCAAGUGUAGAGAUUUCUCUACACGAUAAGAAUUUUCUUAUGUAGAAAGAUUUUUAUGGACAGCUUUUCAGAUCAAUGUGUCGACUCGUUGCUUCACACCAUAGAUAGCUAUUGCUGAUUGGUUCCAAGUUUUGGUUACGGAGAAUAUAAAUGUUUGCAUGGAGCAGUCUAGGCACUGAUCUGCAGUUAUAGUCGGUUGUGUAGAGUAUAUUAAUUGUACUUAUGGCAGGUUCAACAUUCUCUUUGAUAUGGUGAAAAAUAUAAACAAUGUCAAUGGAAAAUCAUGAAUUAGAACGAGAAAAGGAUAAGACAGAAAGCCUGUCGAAAGGUGGGCCAAUGUGUCCAUGUGGUAUUAGCUAUCUGUGGCAUAGUUGGGUCGCAAUGGCACCAUGGGGUUGUAACAUUUGCAGUUCGGAGGCAGGAAAUUUCCUUAGUUUAGGAGAAAAUAUUUAUCGUUAAUCCCUCUCCGAAAGCGAAUAACGUUUAAUUGAUAAAAAAAAAUUUUGUACACCGCUACAAACUGAACAGACUGUAUACUUUUUGAAGUUUGGAGUUGUUUUACUUAGCAUUUUCAGAACAUUCACAUAAUUGUCUUGGUGUAAGUCUGCGUACUUCACCUUUGUGUAAGCGUCAUGUGAAAUGUACUUGACAUUUAGCAGUGGCCAGCCACCUUCUCCAAGAAUGGAUCACACUGCGGCCAUACAUGCAGAGCGGUACCUAUUAAUAUUUGGAGGGGCUUCUUAUGCCACUUGCUUUAAUGACCUCCACGUCCUUGACCUGAAGAUUGUGAGUGCAGUUUCUAUCCUUCUGUCUCCCACCGUGCCUUAUUUGGCUGCUUGUUCAAUUUCUAAAAUAAAGUGAUUCUGUUGCAGAUGGAAUGGUCAAGACCUAAGCAACAAGGUAUCAUUCCAGCUCCACGAGCUGGCCAUGCUGGUACAACUAUAGGAGAGAACUGGUUUAUUGUUGGCGGGGGUGAUAAUAAGAAUGGUACGCUUGAUAUCACUCGAUCUGAUUGGUUUUCUUUUGUUCUGUGAUUAAUACUUUGGUUUUAUUAUUGAGCCUUUUCUUUGGUUGCUUCUAUAAGGAUUUAGUGUUUCUCAAAUGAGCUGUGUCAUGAUAAAGAGGUAUCAGAAUAGGUUCAUCACUAGUUUCUUUUUUAGUGCUAGGUUGAUUCCUAGCUCUACUUCCACGGUAUGUUUAUUUUAUCAUGAUUAAUCGAAACUAGACAUACGGAGGAUGAGGAAUAACCAGCAUAACUUUCCAAUGAAUUUACUCGGAUUCAUCUUUUCUGUGCAAGGCAGCUUUUGAAACAUGCCUGUUGCUUGUUUACGUCUGUGAUAGAAUUCUAAUACAUGGACCCAAUAGUAGGAAGAGGUCUUCAUAGAUAGUUAAUUGCAAUUAAUAAAAUGUUUGCCAUGGAUUCAGCUGGAUUCUCAAGUUUAUGUUUUAUAAUAUCUUCACACAUUUGACGUUAAUAUGAUUAUGGGCUACAUACUCGACCAAAAGCAUCACUUUGAUUUUCUUUCUGCUUAAUAAUUUUGAAUUAAAUACGGAAUAAGACAUUGCCAACAUAAUUUUCUAAUUAUGCAUUCGUGACCGACUGUUUUUCAAGUUGCCACGUUACUUUCAAUGAUCUUUGACUGCUAUUUCUUGGUUGGCAGUUGACAAAAUUUUGUUCUAGUAUUUUUUUUUCUUAUGCACCAUGUUCUGAAAACUUUCUGCUUUCUCUGAGGCGCUUUAUGCUCUUUAAGACCAGACGCAUAUAUUUUCUCUGGAAAUGAUUUUGGGAUCUGUUAAAGUUUUGAGCCAAUUUCAAUAGUCUUUCUCCGGCCAUUAUUUUCACGUACUUUGAAACCGUUUCAUGGAUGUCCUUUCAAAUGUAUGUGCAAUACUCUGCAGGUAUCUCUGAUACGCUUGUGUUGAAUAUGUCUACCUUGGUCUGGUCAGUUGUUACCACAGUUCAAGGACGUGUACCUAUAGCUAGUGAGGUGUGUUUCUGCUCUCUUCGAAUAUUGAUUCUCACAGCUCUCUUUGGAUUUGAAAUGCAAUGUGAUCUAGAAUUUAAAAAGAAUCUGGUAGGAAUGGGAUUUUUUCCACUUCUGGACUCAGUGUUAUUAUAUUAUUGUUAUCACCUUCUAAUUUUACUAUUUGGAACAGUGGACCAAUAGUGCACCAUGUUUGGGGGAAACGGUACCCAUGGUGUGAAUUUACUUCCUAGAAAUUAGUUGCAAAAAGAAUUCAUCUAAUUUCUGGAACGCAGGAACUGUCUAAAUAUUUUGGUAAAUUACAAGUAAAAUCGAGAGGAGGAAUUCAGUCAAGGGUAUGGCCACAAUGGAGAUGGCUUGGGCUGCCGUACCCGUAGUAAAGCUCUGAACUACCCUACAACAGCAGUCUCAUUCCUUUGCCUCUUCUUUAAGGCAAGGUUAUCUCGAGUUCCCAGCUUGACUCUCAACCUUUUAGAGGUGAUGAACAGCUUUUAAUCAUAAUCUUCCCUAAUAGUUCAUUUGCCGAAUAUGUAGGUUUGUACUAGAAUCACCAUAUUAACAAGAGAAUCAGCCUACUCCUAGCUAAAAAGUGUAGAACCCAUGUCAGAUUCUUUGAUCUACUCAGGUUCACUGAUUUCGGACCAUUCAUUUUAUCAGAAUAUUCGCUCCAGCCAGGGCUGAGUUUGGGUGUUUUAUCCCUACCUCUUUUAGUGUGAAUCUUGGAUUUAGAGAGAGAGAGAGAGAGAGAGCAUUGUCAUUUUUGUCAUGCCAUGCUAAUUUUGGGAUGUAGACUGAUGAGUAUGAUGAUUACUUUUGAAAGCAGGGAGUGUAAUAGGGGAAUCGGUGUGAUCCCAAUCAUGUUACUCUAUUUUUGGGGUUCCCAUGGAACACUUUUACAGCCACACCCGUGCAAAGGGAAACCUGCGUUUUCAUUCCCAAUCCGCUAUAUAAAGAUUGUUAAUGCACUGGAGGUGACGGGUGUAAAGAACGUGGCUUGUUUUCUGAAAACCAGACGAUUCAUCACAGUGAAGAACAAAGAACUUUAUUCAAAUCGAAGUUUUAUUUCAUGGAUUCUCCGAAAUGCAGUUAUUUUUUUCUUUUUAUUUGCUAUGUGAAUGGUUGCCAGAUUUCUGGAACGAUGGUUGCGGUGCGUUUAUUGAUGCAAAUAAUUCAAAUUGAAGACUGAAACCUAUAAGAAGUGCGAGUAAAAGAUUACAUUACUCAAUAUGCAAAAAUUAUAUUUAUAUUAAUUUUCUUAGUUAUUUAUUCACAGGGCUUGAGUUUGGUUGCAAGUUCAUACACAGGGGAAGAUAUUCUGCUUUCAUUUGGAGGGUACAAUGGGCGAUACUGCAAUGAUGUUAGUUCUUACCAUCUAUUUGCUUAUUCAAAUACUUUUAAGGAAAAUUCCUAAUCUCAGUAUCUUCCCUUCCAGGUUUAUGCCCUUAAACCAAGCCACAAAACGGCAUUGCAAUCCAAAAUAUUUGAAGAGUCUGUGCCAGAGAGUGUUGCUGGCCUUCCCACAAAUGCAACCAGAGACAUCGAACCAGAGCUUGAAACUGAUCAAGAUGGAAAAGUUAGGGAAAUCUUGAUGGACAGCAUCGACUCACGGCUCAUGGUAAUUUCCAUAUAUUUCAUACGUAGUAUAUGUUUGAUGAGUGUGGUAAAGCCGUCUAUUAUCCCUGUGUGGAUCUUAGGAAAAGGAGAAUCAAUUUGUGAGCCAUAAAUAGUAGCUCCCUUGUACUACUGCCCCUUGGCCGCGUUUUUUCUGAAUAAAAGUGGGGUUGCUCUCGCAGAAUGUCAAGACCGUGGAGGCAUAUGAACAGCAGCUGGCGAACCUUAAGGCGGAGAAAGAAGAACUGGCAAUGAUCCUCUCGAAGGAGCAGUCACAGGCGAGUCAACUGAAGCAAGACAUUGCAGAAGCAGGGACACAAAUUUCGGAGCUUAUGAAGGUAAGUGAUUAAAUAAUCCCAUAAUGGAAAGAAUAAAUAAAGCUGCGUGGUUGCUCUCAUGCACCUUCUCUACUUAUCUUAGGUUAACUCUGUGCCACAUAAUCAGAUGGGCUUUCAUGGCAUCAGAGCUGUUUGGUGCUCUUAGAUUAAGCACGUGAAGAUUCUAUCUUCAUUUUGGUGCAGAUCCUUUGAACGAUUAUUCCCGCAUUAAUAUUGUGUUCGGUGCAGCAUCUCUCGGGAUAAAAUACGGGCAACUCCUCUGCUUUCAUCCCCAAGAAAUCAUCAAAAUCUCUUUGCCUUUCUUCUGAAACCAAAAGAGUUUGCCCGAGAAGCCGGAAAAAAAAAAUGGAGUUUCUUUUAAAGUCCCAAUUUGUAGUAAAAUUAAGCAUUCAAAAUUUUCUUUUAUUUUUCCCAGAUGUGAAAUGUUACUUGAGAACCAUAUGUGCCUUGCUCUUCGAGAAACAUAACUAAAAAAAAAAAAACUGGGCUGUUUUCAUGAACUGACGAUCCCUGCGUUCUUUCUGACGAUCUGCAGGAGCUUCAGUCUAUCAGAAGUCAGCUUGCUGCUGAGCAGUCGAGAUGCUUCAAACUGGAGGUACACACUGAUGACUUGAUUAUUGCCAUGAAAAGAAGAUACACGGCGUGGCUCAGAUUUACCAGAGAAAAUACUAGAAAAUAGUCCUUGCCAAUCUCAAUCCACACCAGGACCAGGCUUAAGCUCGAUCUGCCCUAAAAGUCUGAAUCCCAUUUUUCUUGCUCCACAGCUGUCAGAUAAUCGCUCAUCCCUCUCUCUCUCNNNNNNNNNNNNNNNNNNNNNNNNNNNNNNNNNNNNNNNNNNNNNNNNNNNNNNNNNNNNNNNNNNNNNNNNNNNNNNNNNNNNNNNNNNNNNNNNNNNNNNNNNNNNNNNNNNNNNNNNNNNNNNNNNNNNNNNNNNNNNNNNNNNNNNNNNNNNNNNNNNNNNNNNNNNNNNNNNNNNNNNNNNNNNNNNNNNNNNNNNNNNNNNNNNNNNNNNNNNNNNNNNNNNNNNNNNNNNNNNNNNNNNNNNNNNNNNNNNNNNNNNNNNNNNNNNNNNNNNNNNNNNNNNNNNNNNNNNNNNNNNNNNNNNNNNNNNNNNNNNNNNNNNNNNNNNNNNNNNNNNNNNNNNNNNNNNNNNNNNNNNNNNNNNNNNNNNNNNNNNNNNNNNNNNNNNNNNNNNNNNNNNNNNNNNNNNNNNNNNNNNNNNNNNNNNNNNNNNNNNNNNNNNNNNNNNNNNNNNNNNNNNNNNNNNNNNNNNNNNNNNNNNNNNNNNNNNNNNNNNNNNNNNNNNNNNNNNNNNNNNNNNNNNNNNNNNNNNNNNNNNNNNNNNNNNNNNNNNNNNNNNNNNNNNNNNNNNNNNNNNNNNNNNNNNNNNNNNNNNNNNNNNNNNNNNNNNNNNNNNNNNNNNNNNNNNNNNNNNNNNNNNNNNNNNNNNNNNNNNNNNNNNNNNNNNNNNNNNNNNNNNNNNNNNNNNNNNNNNNNNNNNNNNNNNNNNNNNNNNNNNNNNNNNNNNNNNNNNNNNNNNNNNNNNNNNNNNNNNNNNNNNNNNNNNNNNNNNNNNNNNNNNNNNNNNNNNNNNNNNNNNNNNNNNNNNNNNNNNNNNNNNNNNNNNNNNNNNNNNNNNNNNNNNNNNNNNNNNNNNNNNNNNNNNNNNNNNNNNNNNNNNNNNNNNNNNNNNNNNNNNNNNNNNNNNNNNNNNNNNNNNNNNNNNNNNNNNNNNNNNNNNNNNNNNCUCUCUCUCUGCCACUCUUCAUUGCCUUCAAGGGCCAGGGGCUUCUUCUACCCAGAAGCCCGAAGUUGGGGUUCCUCAUCCUCUUCCUCCCCAUGGUCCCUUCCCUCAUUUCCCGUGGGUUCUUCGAUUCAGCUCACCUCCCUCCGUUCGCGUUGACUUUCUUCACAGCCCUUCGCUCAGAUCCCAGCCUUCCAUAAAUGCCCACGAGCGACUGAAAGAUCUCCAUCGCCCCAAUAUUCUUCUAAUCUCACCUGCUGAGGUGUAAGCCCAGAAGUUCGACCUCCAAGCUGGCCUUCGACCUGGGUCUUCAAGCCCCAUUCUCGGCGGCGGAGCCGCAGCGUGGCAGCAGACCCCAUUACCCACCGGCGACUGCUUCGGCCUCGCUGACGCCCGCCACCAGCCCAUCGUCCACUACCUCGUGAAAGCUCCGGUCAACCCCAACGUGAACUGGUGGGUUGCCGGCGUCCUGGCGGCCGCCAUGCAGAGGGCCGCUUGGCCAGCAUCAAGUUUUAGAUAUUCAGUUGUUUCCUAAACCCAUAACGUCCUCAAGUGACUUCUCCGAUGGUUAAAUGAGUCUUUGGAACUCAUUGCCACAAAUCAAACAGCUCUGGAGGAUUCAAAAGUUCAAUGCUUCCGCAUUGCGUUCGGAUAAACUUGCAAUUGACCGAGACUUGUCUUAGUAAAAAGGAAAAAUGUUAUAGUUGUCACUUUGGAAAGCCACUUAUAAUGUGUAAAAGGUGUUAAGAUAUUAAAAACAAGGGUUUCAGAGAGGAAUUGUCUAAGAUGAGGCCCGAGCAUUACAUUUAUUGACGUUUUAUGAAUGCUUCAGUAUGCAAAAUUUAUUUUGACACCAUAGCAACAUGGGUUUAUUUUGAAGAUUUAUCUCUUCCCCUUGGGCCAACAGAAUAUUUUGAACUAAAUCUUGUAAAAUCAUCACCACUUUAUCUCUCUAUAUAUUUAACAUAAAAAACUUCACUUUUAUGUCGUGCAAAAAAUGAGUUCAUUUUCAAUUAUAAUAAGUUUCAACUUAAAUGGCAUAAAGUACAUCACGAUAUUAUGAGCCCAAUCAUAGAUGUGCCUAGGGUGCUACAAGAGCUUUGUUUUCGUUAUAGGAAUUGGCAUAACUAUAGUUUGUACCAUCUAAUCUCCCAUAGUGACCUUAAAACUAUUUUCACAUAGGUUGGCCUCAUUUAUUAUCCCUGUUCUUUUUAUAUAUUAUUUAAGUUUCUCUUCAUACCCUUCCUUUAGAAGGAAUUAAAAUUCAAUAAUCAUUCAUCAAUAAGUUUAUUCAUUCCUAUUAAGUUAUUAUUUCACGAACACUUAGGAAAUGAGAUUAACAUCAUAAAAAUAAAAACUAAAUCAGAAAUAUAAGUUAUUUAUAAAAAAUAGAAAGGGCAAUCUCAACCUAUUAGAUGCAUCAUUAAAAUAGGAACAAGGUAAAAUAUUCAAAUAUAAGAAUACUAAUAUGAAUGGAAAAAAUAAUGGGAUAUUAAUAUAUCAAAUACAUCUUAUACCUGUUAAAGGCCAUUGGAUGGUUAUAUCAUUAAGUAGUAGUAAAAGUUAAUGUUCAUUAGAGUGUAUGCGGAAAUCCAUGCUGCACUAACCAGAUAGUGUAUACCAUAGAUCAAGAGACGAACCCUCCAUGGGCUUGUUGAAAAUUAGUGCGCAUGUUCUACACUGGAUCAAGUAGACAAAAAAUUAUCCCUAUUGUUUACCAAAGAGGGGCAAACCUAUGAUUCGCAAGUCCUAGGUUGUCUUGAUGGAACAUACCAUUGCAAAAAGGGGAGAAAAGAAAGUUUUCUGCAGCUCUAUCUUCUUCAACGCCAAUCAUGCCUUGCAACUCUCCUACUGAAGUGGGUUUUUUAGGGUUGAUAUACUACAUAAUAGGUCUGCAUUCCAGCAUUCCAGUGAAAGUAAGACGAUUCAAUGUCUAAUUUUGGUAGGAUAAUUGAACUUUCAGAUGAUAAUGAUGCACCUCAAGCCCCAAGCAAGUGGAGUCAUGUCUUUCCCGAUGACUGAUUCUUAUGAUUUUUAAUUAGGAAUGUAACAAAACCCAUGUCAAUGGAAGUGAGAAUAUCUUCAUCCACAUUAAGAAGUAAAUAUGCCGCAGCCUUGGUGUUAUGAUAAAAAAGAGUGAGGCAUCUACCUCUCCUGUUGUUCUUAUUAUUGAAUUGCAUGUCCACACGUCAAUUAGCAUACGUAUGCUCCAAGCGUUAUAUGAUCGCCCUUGCCUCUGGAAACCAAAAGAGGUAAGAUCAGAAGAAUAAAAACUACAUUCAUUUUCCAGAAGGGGGAUUGGAAAUCCUUGAGUUGUCUAUGACAUGUAGUAAACAUCUUGAAUUCUUAAUCUUUGAAAGAAGUGAUUUGACCAAAUGAUUGUAAAGGCAUGUAACCUGGUUUUGAUUUGCUAACAUAAAAUAGUUGAUUCAGGGAGACUGAGAUGAUUUAUCACUGAAACGUAUUCGAUUUCGUUUCUUCUUAUUGUUCUUCGUUUCUCCUCAAAUUUUUAGGUAUUUUUGUAAGAUUUUCUCAGUUCUGUGUACCUAUCUGUUCUUCUGAAACACUUGAUGAAUGCCUGUAACAGAUUCUGCUGAAGAAAGGAAAUUCUGAUCCCCCUAUCGUUGACUCAGUCAUCAUUAAUGCACAAUAUUAGAUAUAAUAAAAAUAAUAAAUAAAUAAGAAAAUUUUAAAUAGCUUAAACUAGGAACUACACCAUAAUCUUGCUUAGUUAUCCACACAAAUAAGGUAUUUGAGUAAUUUCCAAGCGAAAUGUGUUGAAGUCAAUGGACCGUUCGACAUAAAAUUGACCACUUAGUGAUAUUUACUUCUCAAUUCUGUAGUAUAAGAUUAUCUAGAUAGACAACCCUUUUUCAGAAAAAAGUGUUUAAUUUAACACCAACUAACAUUCUGGUUAGUUAAUUGGUUUUAACUUACAAUGUGUGAUGAAUUUAACUUAUCGUUUAAAGACCACCGCUGAUUGGUGCUCUUAGGUAUGGAAAGUGUAGCUGGCUGAAUUUAGUGUUAUUACUUCAUUGUUAGAAUCAUUAUGGUAUGUUGGACUCACAGCUGCAACAACCAGUCAUUCAAAGCUUCCUUCAUAUUCAAGUCAAAUGGGGAUGGCCUUUCGAGAUCUUAUGCUCAUCAGGAGGGAUUUUAAUUGUCUAUAAAUAUCGAAUUACCUAACGACACCUAAAAAAUCUCGAAUCCUGAAUGUCCCUCCUCUUUUGGAUAAGAUUUAUUCGAGCACAAUUAUUGAGGUCUGGGACAAACUUCCCCAUCAUCACUCAAGCAUAACCCAAUAGAAUAUCUCCGCGUGCCUGCCGGCCAAUUUCUAAAGUCAAUUAGUAACUUAAUCCCCUCCACCCCCCCCCCCCCCCCCCCCCCCCN
This 74863-nucleotide long non-coding RNA is filed under the name Spirodela polyrhiza (greater duckweed). RNAcentral's name for it is "long non-coding RNA (SPOL_LNC002310)". Lineage: Eukaryota; Viridiplantae; Streptophyta; Magnoliopsida; Alismatales; Araceae. The record is from RNAcentral.